AAGCUCAAGUUGUGGCACUUUUUUGGCUACAACCUAGUCCCUGAUCAGCCCCUUUCCUUUUACCAUGAGCAGGCGUUUAGUGUCGUGAAGGAGCUGGAGGUGGGGAUCCCCCCUCGGCAGGAGGUGGGGAUCCACCCUCGGCAGGAGGAGGGGAACCACCGCCAUCAGCAGGAGGCGAAUCUUUUGGAGGGGAACCAUCUUUUGGAGGCGGUGGUACAGCAUCAGGAGGAACUGGUUUUGCAUCUUUUGGAGGUUUCUUGUCACAGUCAAAGUAGCAGAAGCAGCCGCCUUUCCCUUCACGCUUGUGACAAGCUCCGUGGACUGCCUUCUCCCAUUCUAUGCACUUUUUGUCACACUUCUUGGAAUUACACUUUCCAGACCAAGUCUGGCUCGUCUUUUCACAUAGUUUUCCUUUCACUGUACCGAUUUCUGUUCACAUCAUGCAAAAGUCACACAAGUCUCGUUGUUUAUAUAACUUGAUAUUGCUCUUGAUUGUAAAGAAACAAUUAAGAAACAUAAAUUGUUAGCAUUUAAGGAAACAAAAUCAGAAUAAUAAGUAAAAAAUUGGAAAAGUAUCUAAAGCAACUUGAUAGAUUGAGCACCUGAAAUGGCAAGAACGAAGAGGAGGAGAAGGAUUGUAUAGGUGGCAAUUGAUCUUUUUGCCAUUUUUAAGUUAUAUAUGAUGAAACGGAAGAACCCGCAACACGUUAGAUGAAGAAAAUGUAGAGACAGUUAUGGGUAUUUAUAGAAGAAGGAAGGAGUUUCAAUAGUAUGUUUGUCUAAGAUGAUUAUAAACCAUACGACAAACAACAGAAAUACAUAAAUUACCACACGAUAGGUAGUUUUUUUUGAAAGAAAGGAAACACAAGUUUUAAAUUUUAGCCAUUUUUUAAUACUUCCAAUAAAAUGGUUAGGUUGUUAUCAUUAUCGACUUCAUAAAACCACAAUAGAAUUGCCGGCUUUUAUUUUUAAUCAAGGGCAUCCCAUUGAUAUGAGUCCUAGUACAAAAAAAAUGAGUAAAUUACACGAAUAGUCCCUAUGGUUUACGGUAAUUUACACGUUUAGUCUCUAACUUAUUUUUUUAACUCGGAAGAUCCUUACUUUUUUGUUUUUCUACGUGCUUGGUCCCUGACUUACCUAAAAAGACUAUUUUGCCUUUGAUUUUUUGAUUUAUUUAAAUAAACACACCCACAAUCUCACACUUUUCACCUUAUCUUAUCUACUCCAUCAUUUUUAUAUAUUUAAAUAAAAGUCUUUUUAGCUAAGAUAGAGACCAAACGUGUAACAAAAACAAAUAGUAGGGACAAAGCACAUAACAAAAACAAACAGUAGGAACCUUCCGAGUUAAAAAAAUAAGAUAGGGACCAAACGUGCAAAUUAUCCCAAACCGUAGGGACCAUUUGUGUAAUUUACUCAAAAAUAAAAAUCGUUCUUAGGUUUUUAUAUUUAAGCAAAAUUUGUUAAUACUACCAUAAAUCAAUGAAUGUUAUAAAAGCAAUCAAAUCAAAAGAACCANNNNNNNNNNNNNNNNNNNNNNNNNNNNNNNNNNNNNNNNNNNNNNNNNNNNNNNNNNNNNNNNNNNNNNNNNNNNNNNNNNNNNNNNNNNNNNNNNNNNNNNNNNNNNNNNNNNNNNNNNNNNNNNNNNNNNNNNNUAUAUCAUGAAAAUAUUAUAAUCAAUAUUCUUUGAUAUAUCGUUUUCAAUACUUAUCAAUGUCAAUAUAUUAAAUCAUUUUGUAAAGUUAUGAAUCAUAGGUGAGAUAAAACUUUAAACAACUACAAGCAGUAUAAAACAACGUUAGUCCAUGUUAGAUGUUUUAUACUUUAAAAGUCUUAUAAUUUUUUUUAUAUUUAAAUGAAGUAUAAGGGUUUAAUUAUUAUUUAAAGGGUAUUUUUUACAAUGAUGGGUGUUAAGCCAAAUUAUGAAUGAAUUUGACGUGAUCCGAACGUGUACUAGAGAGUUGAGGAGGGUGAAUUUGGAAAUUUUAGAAACUACAAUUGAAAAUAAUAAGGAAGGUGAAGAAUAUAGUAGGUACCAUUAAUGUAAUUUCACAUUCAAACGUAUCUUGAUAGCCAUUCUGAUAUUGCUUACUUAAAUUAAUAGCGGGUUUUUUAAUAUAUGACUAAAGGCACAUAUGACAAUCGUUAAUUAGAUGACGAGACAUUUGGCUACCUUAAUAGAUUCAUACUACUCCCGCGGUUUACCCGUGCUUAGUUGAAUUUAUUGACUUUGACAUUCAGAGCAUUGGGCAGAAAUCACAUUGCCUUAGCUGUUUGUUAUGGUCUAGUAUGGUGUCUUUGGAAAGCUAGAAAUGAUCGAAUCUUUAAGAAAAUUUUUAGUGUUCCUUUCAGAAUAGUGGAGAACGUUAAAUCCCUUGUGUAUUUGUGAGUGAAAUGUACGGGUAGUAAGGAUUGUUGUGAGUGGGAAGACCAGACUGUUUUCCCAUUUUCGUCGCUUUAAUUUUAUUUCAAUCUAAUUGUAUUGGUAUGUUCUCCUUGCCCCCUUUUAGGUGCGUGCAAUCUUGGGGUAUUUUUAUAAUAUUUCAGCCUUUUCCAAAAAAAUGAAAAUCAUUAAUUACGGCAAUUUUUUUAUAAUUAAAUGUGAAAUAUAUUAAUUAUAAGAAAUAUUACCAUAAUUAAAUAUGAAAUAGAUUAAUAAUUUUCUUAAGAAAUACAUUUCACAUUUAAUUAUGGAAAUAUUUUUCAUAAUUAAUGUUUUUUAUCUAUGCAUUUAAGGCAUAUAUUAGGAAAUCCUUAUAUAUAUAUAUAUAAGGAUUUACACGAAGCAUAACCGGAGGAAUGCAGAGUGUAGUUGCGAAGUGGGUCGGGGUAAGAUACCUCGUACGCUAGCGUACGAGGAGGUACGCUGAGCGUACGAGGGUUAGGUUGAAAACCCUAAUUUUAGGGUUGUACCUUAUAUAAGCAUAAUGUUAGCCCUUUUCCUUGAUUUCUAGGUCAGACUCCACCGUCUCAAAACCCUAAAUCGUCUUUUAGUCUUCGUGGUGGCAAUUUGAGCUCACGGUGUCCAUUUUUGGUAUGUUUGGUCCAUUUCUAGAAGAUGGAGUUUGGUGCAAGGAUGGGAAAAAAUGAAGAGAAUAUGGAUCUUGCUCAUGUGUCUCAUUUCCAGCAUGUUGCAGGUAAAAAGAUUUGAACUUGAUCAUUGAUGUCUUAGAUCUAUCAUUUAUCAGUUUUGGUUUAAUUUGCUCCCGAGAAUGAGAUCUAGUUGUCUUGAUUCCACCCCAGGAGCUUUGAGUUGCCCCUCUUAGUGUUUCUGAGGUUCAAGGUCCAUAAAGUUGGCACCUUUCGAGCUUAAAACCAUCUAUGGUUGAGUUUGGGUCCUUUUCAUGAAAGUAGAAUGCUACACUUUGAGAAUGGGUGUUUUUGGGGCAUGUAAAGUCACCAAGUCAGUGACAUUAUGGUUCUAAACAUCCAUUUAGAAGCGGAUAUGUGGUUUUGACUUAAAGGAUUAAGCAUUUGGAGCUUAAUGAAGGAUUUGUCACAAUGGAGGAGUAGGUUGGGCGUAUAAUUUAGUACGCGCAACGUACAAGCAAAACAACCAAUACGUUUACCGUGCAGUUGAAUACGCCUCAGCAGAAGUUUCGCUAUUGGUCUUCGAUGAGGGCCAUUUGUUGGGCUUAUGUGUCUUGGUCCUAUUUGGCCAUCAGGUUGUGCUCUAAUAGUGAUUUUGAGAAGUCCUACGAAGGGAAUUAGGCCCAAUUUGGAAAAUUGGGCCAUGAUUUGGGCCACGAGUGGUUCUUGAUAUUUUGGGCUUGAGUGGUUAAGUUAUUAAUGGCCAACGAAAUACAAAGUGUUUUGGACGAGAAAGAAUGUUUUGGCCUUAAGGUAAGGCCCAUGUAAGGCGUUUGGGCCCAAUUUGGAAAAUUGGGCCAUUUGUUGAUUAAUUAACCUUUAGGCCUUUUAGUUGUAUGUUUGGGUCUUAGAUUUGGUCAAGGCUAGGUUAGCGGUAAAAUGCUCUUUUUACCCUAGGUUUGGAGUUGUGGUUAUGGAUUGGAACCCAACUGUUAAUUGGGAGUUGUUUUGUGACUGAUAGUUCGGGGAUCUCUCAGCCAGUAGCCAAGGGUGUUUCUGCAUGAUUCAGCAGUACGAGGUGAGUCUUCUCACUAUAUCCAUGGGUCGAAGGCACCAAUGCCCGCCCAUUACGUGUUAUUUGGUAUGCUAAUUGGCUCGGUGAUACUUGCAUGAAGGACCCUGGGAGGAGCCCAUGACAAAUGGAUGUCAGUCCGGGGGGGGGGGGGGGGGAGCCCAUGGCAUUCCAGGUAAAGACCAUGAGGGAGCCCAUGGCAUACUAGAUAAAGACCAUAGGGGGGGAGCCUAUGGCCACUAUAUGUAUGUUGCAUGGUAAUCUAUGGUUGUAUGUUGUAGGGUAUUUUUGGGAACUCACUAAGCUUUGUGCUUAUGGUUUUCAGUUUAUGUUUCAGGUACUUCGGUUUUUAAAUGGAUGGGCUCGAAACGAUUGCAGGGCAUACGCCUCAUGUUUCCGCCUUUUAUGAAUUACUCUGAUUUGUCAAUGUUUUGCUAAAACUUAAUUAACUUAGCCUUAUUUCCUGUUCCUCGUCUGGUUCUGGUCCUAAGGUAGAGUCUUUUAUUAGAGUCUAUUUGAUCUUGUUAUGUGUAUAAUUUGCAUGCAAUAGGCAACUAACUGUAAGGGUGGUAUUUUUAGCAUGAGUUGUGAGAUGUGGGUUGACUGUUCUAUGACUGUUCUUUGGAUCAGAUUGUUACUGCACGAACGCUACUUGCUUUGUGCUUUUCGAAACUCUUAGAUGUGGUGAGUCAACUACUAAGUGAAUAUGAUGCUAUUCAUGAGGUGGAUGACUGGCAUUAUGCGAGUUCUUUAGCGGUUGAUGACAUAGUGAGGUUGGGAACCUAAGAGAGCCUAAGGAGUACUGAAGUGAGUGUGGUCACGUUGUUUAGUGAGAUUUGGUUAUUCAGUCUGAGAAGGUGACUUAGAGGAUUCGAGAUGAUUCUUGAGGAAAGUAUGGAUAGGUGUGUGGAAGGUAGUAUUGGGCUCUUACUAUUGAAAGCACAUGAUCCAUACUCAAAUCGGGGAGAGUCUUGGAGAAUCUAAGAAGCUUGAGGAAGAGGAUUCUUGAGUAUGUUAUGAUCUUCUGCAUGAUUGUAUUUCAUUUUGGUGAUGAGCUUCUAGGAAGGAGGUUUAGGUUUUGGUUCCGACUCAGGUAAGGGUACUGAUCCGAUUAGCGAGUGGAUGUGGGAAUUGAUAUCAUCAAAAAUUACCCGCGGUGUUUUAGAGAAGACUCCUGUGAUUUUUGGUUAGGUCAGAAAGGGGUUUUUCGAGAUCUUGGAUGAGCGCUUGGGAGUGUUUCGUGCUGGGAUUAUGGCAAUCGUUGGAGCUCGCACUCUUUCUUUCCGUGAGCUCCGUGCUUGUGGAGCUUAUGCAUUCUAUUGAGAAAGGGACCCUAUUACCAGUAGGAAGUGGUUAUCGGAGAUGGAUAAUACGUUCCGAACGAGUUGUCUCCAAAGUGCACUUGCUCCUGUUAUUUUGUGUAUUUCUGAUAAUCGUGAGGGUAGGGCAUGAACCCCAACAAAGAGUAGUCGGCUAUUUCAGUGUCGUACCGGGAAGGCUAAUGCUCCAGCAGGUGAUAUUGCGGGUAUGCUGUCUUUUGUUUUUUCUUCGGUUGUUAUUAGUGUUGAUGUUUCAUGAAAUGUUAUAUUAGUUUGGGUAAGCGUUAUCAUGGGUUUAAAUCUCUUUUAAUGAUGGGUUGCACCUUCGAGAAUUGUUUUAUGCAUGUUGCAUACCGUAAAGCGUUGGUGGGUUAUUUAGGGGUUGUAUCAUGUGUAGCGGGUUCCAAUGUGUUUGAUUACCAUUUUGUUUUUGGUCGGAAUCAGUUCGGGGGUAUUGAGUGGAAUGUCUAUGGUCAUAACUCAGCAGGUUAGUUCUCCAGUAUCGUAAGAAUUUAGUGAUUUUUGAAUUUGUUCUGGUAGGAGCAGCAGUUGCCUAUGGAAGAGCUAUUUUGUUCAAACAGUGUCAGAACUCAGCAGGUUAGUUCACCAGUAUCGUCAGGAUUCAAUGAUUUUAGCAUUUGUUCUGGUAGGAGGCAGUUUCCUAUGGAAGACCUAUUGGGUUCAAACACUGUCAUUGCUAGGAAAGGAGUGGUAGUAGGAAGGUGGUGGGUCAGUUGCUUGAGUUGUUGGGUCAUUGGGACAACAGGGCGGUUUCAUAUUUUAUCAGGUUAAAAUCGAUUAGGGUUUACGGAUUCUUCGACAGUGGGAGAUGGGAUGAAGAUUCGUCAGUCAGGGCAAGUGUUAUGAUUUUUAGUCGUCAGCAUAAGAAAUCAAGGAAUUUGUAUGGCAUCAUCGGAGGUGAUUUGGAUUAUGUGAUUGGUUAAGAUUUCAAGAGUAUUGUUAUAAGGUCUAAUUUGGUUGUAAUUAGUCAAAGUGUCAUAGGUCUUCGUAUGUAGUAUAAUCUUCGUAUUCUCUGUAAUCUAUUUUACCAGGGCACAUUAUUCGAAGCUUAUUUGUCUAGUCCUUAGUAUAUUUUUUGUACGCUUUUCAUCUCCUAUAAAUAGGAGUCUUUACUAGAGUUAGAUAAGGUUUUUACAGUCUUGUCUAUUUUGCACUCUGUAAACCUAAAAGCGUAAUAUUGAGCUGAAACAAGAUCUUAUUUACAUCGGUGUUCUAUCUCGCAUACAUUUUGAUUUCAUACUCUGAUUAAUUUUCAUACUCGACUCUUUGAUUCUACAUUUUGUAUAAGAGCAGGAAUCAUAUCUCUGAUCUGAUGUUCAUCUUUUCAAAAGUUUUUAAAUGAACUUUUUGGUUUAAAAGUUUCCGCACUUUUUGAAAAGUGAAAAAUUCAUUGGAUCUUAGUGUGUGAUUAGAUUUUGCACUUCAAUUGUUGAAUCGGGUGUUCAUCUACCGAUUUCAAUUUGAAUCAACUACUUUGCUAUCAAAUUCUCAAAGUUUCUUCAAAAUUCUCAAAGUUUUCUUCCGUACAACAAUGGCGUCAUUCAAUCUUAAUUCCAUGACUUAAUUUUCUCAUUUAUUAGGAUCGUCAACCAAAAUUUCAAUGCUAAUCCCUGAGUAUUAUGAUAAGUGGGUUGAUCGUAUAUAGGAUUAUCUCAAAGGUUUGGAUGAAGAAUUGUGGAUGUGUAUUACUGGUAAUCACAAUCCUCCAUCAAAUGUUCAACCAAUUGGAUCUUCUUCUGGAAAUUCUAUAGUAGAGAAUCAAACUGAUUGUCUGAAAAAGCUGGAGAAUAGAUGCAUGAGAUAUCUGCGAGGAGCUUUGCCUCCAAUUAUGUACAACUAUGUGAGGAGUUGUACAGCUGCAAAGGAGAUCUGGAACAAUCUAAAGGAGAAAUUUCAGGGAAGCGAGAAGACUAGAGUUAACUCAGUGAAACAAUGCAUGGUUGAACUAAAAGACUUCAGAUAGAAAGACGGUGAAACAAUUAAGGUAUACUAUGAUCGUCUGAAUGAAUUAAUCUAUCGAUGCAACCGAUAUGGAAUCACCAGAUCAGUCAUCUUAUCUUCGUUAUGGGUCUUAGAAAGGAGUGGCAAGGUGUAAGCAUGAUGGUUAAGAAUCAAUAGAGCUUUGAUACAUCAACUUUGAAUGAUUUGUACAAUCAGUUAAAAUCACACAAAAGUGAAGUGAACGAAAUUGCUGACGAAACGAAGGCAAGUUUGGGAGGUCCACUAGCUUUGGUUUCAAAAAUGACUCAGAAAGAAACUCAUGAGAAAAGUGAACCUGAUGAAGAAGAGGGAUUCAUUAUGAAUUCUGAUGAUGAAGCUAUAGCGUUUUAUUCGAACAAUCGUGUCAAAAAGUUCAUCAAAAAGCCAUUCAAUCUAAAGAUUAAGUUACCUGAGAUGAAAGGAAGUUUUUUGAAUAAAAUUGCAAGUGAUGAGAAGAAGGAUGCGAAGCUUGUUGAUGGGAAGAGUGAGAAGAAGUUGAAGGGAGAUGCUGGAGUAGACUAUCACUAUCGUAAUGGGACUAAUCAUCUAGCUAAUGAUUGCAUGUUAAGGAAGAAGGAUGAGAAGAAGAAUAAGAUAAAAGAUGAAGCAUAUUAUGCUGAAAGACUGGAGGAAGUUCGUGCGAAGGCGAAAAACAUGUCAUUGGUUGCCAUGGGUGAACAAGAAGACGAUGGAACUUAUCAGAUCUGGUCAUUUGGAUCAGAUGAUGAGGAGACGCAAAAUCUGACACACGGAGCAAUGUUUGCAAAGAUGGAGGAAUCUGAUGAAGAAGCAUACGAAGUAAUAUCCAAUGACAACAAAGGUAUGUAAUAUUCUUGAAUCUUUUAAUAGUCCAGUACAUGCUUAUAAUUUUGAAUUGGUAUCUUUCGAUGAAACUGUUACUUACUUUGAUUCAGUUGUGGUAUAUGCUAGCAAUGAGGCUAAGAAGCUUUCUAUUCAGUUGUUAAAGACAUAGAAGAAGUUAGAUUCGAAAAAUACUAAAGUAGAUUGUUUAGAACUUCAGAUUACAAACAUUAUGGUUGAUAGGGAUAAUUUGUCAAGAGAGAUAAAAGUGUUGUUAGCUCAAAGAAACAUCUAUUGUAAUUCAGCUAAGAGAUUGUAUGGGAAAUUAACAGAAUUACAUCAUUCAUGCGAAAUAAGCAAAGAACAACAUAGAAAAUUAUUGCCUUUUUUAGCUUACGAAAGAGCUAAGGUAGAUAAUAUCUUGUAUGAUUGUGAGAAAGAGAUAGCUGAAUUUGACAAAGUUCUUGAUGAUAGAUAUAUAGAUAUGGAAUAGUCAAAGUAGAUGAAUGUCUUGAUACAACUAAAUUAGUUAAUAUUGUAAAUGAUACUUUGACUAAGUCUGAACAAAUUCCCAUUUUGAAAAAAGACUGAGAAUUCAACAUCUGAAUCUUAAUCUAAUUUUGCUAAUAUUGAGGAUAAUUCUGAUAAUAUUUGUGAAAUUAGUGAACUUGAGGAUGUUGAUUGUUCCCAGUUGUCUAUUAUUAAUGUUGCAUCAUCAUCUAAAGGGAAGGAAAAAGUUAAUGAUUUUUUGGUUAAGAUUGAUAUUGAUCAACCCUCAAUUUCGAAAGUUGGUGAUUUCGACUUCGUCGAAAUCAGAGACAGUCAAACAGAUGAUAGUUAUGAUGAAAAAGAUGAGAAACUUUCGAAGAAAAAGGAAUUUUCAAAGGAAGAAGAAAUUCCUUGUAUUGUAGUUGACCAAGUGUAUAGUGAUACACAAGAGUACGAAAAAGUGUUGAAUGAACAAGGUGCUCAUUACCUUGAAACAAAUAUAGUGGUUUACCCAAAUUUCAAGUGUACAGAUGAUGUCAUUUUCCCAAACCAAGUGUUCAUAACAACUAGAAGCAUUGAAAAUGUCUAAUCAGAAUUAAAGAAGUUGGUUGAAGAAGACAAUUUGAAAACAUUAGAUGAUGGAUCCUUCACAAAUCAAAGCACAAUUGACAACAAUCUUACAAAGAAUUCAUAUGUUUUUCAAAGACAAAAAUCACAGAGAAAGUGGGUUGAAAAAUCAAAGCUUGAAAAAGACGUCACCAAACCAAUGGUUGACGAAAUGAAAAGUGGUGUCAAAUUAAAUUCAAAAGGAAUUCAAAGAACAAAUUGACAAAUUUUUGAAAGAAAAUAACAUGUCAAAAAGACAAGCAAGAAAGAAAACAUUUUAGCAAAAAAUCGAGUCUCAAAAGAUGUUAAAUUAACCGACGAAAUCAGUUAAGACUGUGAAUUCAGAAAAUUAUUCAGACAAAAAGAAAAAUCUCGCUCAAUCAAACAAAAAUGUGUCUAAAUUAAAAUCAACAAAAUAUAUUUUCAAAGUGAAAAAUUCAUCUUUUUCAAAAGAAAACAAACAUAUCAUCAAUCAACUCAUUCUAAGUUUGAAUUGAAUACAACACCAAGGUUUUCGAAAGUGUCAAAACCUAACAUUUCAAGGAAAACUUCAGCUAAUUCUAAUCCACCAAAGAUCUUUUCUCAAUGUCUACAUUUUCGAUCAACUGUUGAUACUUUCUAUGCUGAAUAUUUUGUUUCAAAACCAAAAGUUUAUUUUUUUCCUCAGAAGCCAAAUUUUUCUAAUCAUACGAAGAAACAAACAUUGAAAGCUUCGCAUGAAAAAGGGAUAACUUCAAGAAAGAAUAUUGAUCACUGGCUCGAAGGACGAGGCAAAAUUUAUCAAUCAAGCAAAUACUCUAAAGAACAGAUCAACAAAGCUUAUGAGAAGUAUGUGAAUACUUCUUCAAACGGUAGUUCAACCUCAAAAGAUUCGAAUAUCUCAGUGAAAGCAUGGAAACCAGUCACAAAAGUGAAGACAAUUCAAUCACGAACUCAGAAUACGAAGGGUAAUGUCGGUAUACAUACGAAACCAAUAAAUUCUUACGUUUCAAUCCCUACAAAUGAAGCUGUGGACAUUUUUGAUAGUCUCAAAACUAAAGUUUGUGAUUGGGUCAAAAGUUGUUCGUUAAACUCUUUGUUGAAGUCUAAUUUCCAAGGACCCAAAAAGCAUUGGGUACCUAAAUGCUUUCAAAUAUCGUAGGUACUUUGUGAUGAGCAAUACGAUAACAAAUGGUACAUUGAUAGUGGUUUCUCUCGUCACAUGACUGGGAAGAGGGAGAAUCUUAGAGGCUUUCGAAGCUUGAAAAAUGUUGGAGUUGUUAAAUUUGGAAACAAUCAAAAGAGCCAAGUCAAAGGAUAUGGGAAGAUCAAGAAUGGUCAAUUCACGGUGAAUCGAGUUGCGUAUGUUGAACGUCUGCAACAUAAUUUGAUAAGUGUCUCUCAACUUGUUGUGGGCACUGGCAAUCAAGUUCUUUUUAAUGAAGAGGGUAGCAUAAUUUUGAAUAUCAACACUAAAGUGGUUUUGCUCAAAUCAAAGAGGAAAGGUGAUAUGUUUACAUUGGAUAUCAAUCCGAUUGUAGGAAAACGUGCAGUAUGUCUUCUUUCGAAAGCCACAUAUGACUUAAGUUGGCUCUGGCAUCGAAGACUUUCACAUCUCAACUUUCGCAACAUCAACAAACUUGUUGUUCAAGAUCUGGUAAGAGGUUUACCCGUACUUAAAUUCGAUAAUGAUUCGUUAUGUGCAGCUUGUGAAGUUGGCAAGCAACAUAAACAAGGUCAUCCGAUCACAAUUGAUUCAAAGAUUGUCGAACCACUGGAGCUUUUACGUAUUGAUUUAUGUGGUCGUUCGACAGUUUCAACACUCAACAACAACCGGUAUAUCUUAGUUAUUGUUGACGAUUUUUCCAGAUUCACAUGGGUUUAUUUUCUCAGAUUAAAAUCCGAAGUGGCACAAAUCAUGAUUGAUUUAAUCAAGAAAAUGGAAAUAACAUUGAAAAAGAAUGUUCGCAAAAUCAAGAGUGAUCAUGGAACUGAAUUUAAGAACAAUGUUCUUGAUUUGUUUUUGGUAGACAAAGGAAUUUCGUAUAAUUUCUCUUCUCCAUACACUCCACAAGAAAAUAGAGUUGUUGAACGAAGAAAUCAUUCACUAUGCGAAGCUGCAAGGACUAUGUUGGCGUAUGCGAAUUUACCACAAUAUCUUUGGGCUGAGGCAGUAUCUACCGCAUGUUUUACUCAGAACAAAUCUUUCAUUCACCGGCGUUUUAAUAUUACACCAUACAAAAUUCUAAAUAAUAGGAAACCUAAUGUGAAAUUCUUCCAUGUUUUCGGAUGCAUGUGCUUUAUUAUGAACCUCAAGGAUAACCUUUCGAAGUUUAAACUAAAAGCUGAUGAAGGGAUUUUCAUGGGGUAUUCGCAUAUUUCAGUCGCAUAUCGUGUGUUGAACAAGCGCAAAAGAAAGUGGAAGAAACUUUUAACCUUACAUUUGAUGAUUAUUAUAUAAAACAAUAUGAACAACAAUUUGAAAAUCAUCCAAUUUUGAAAGAAACACAAGAUGAAUCUGAACCAAUGCAAAUGUUGGAUAUUGAUUAUGAUUUGAUAUUUGGAAUAUCAGAUCAUACUAGAAAUGCUGAACUAAAUGCUCCUGAUAAUCAUAUCCCUGAAUUUUCGAAGCUAACUGACGAUUCAACAUCAUCUCCUCAAGAGAUAGGCCAAAGUAUGCAAAAUGAUCCACUGGAGGGGGAGCACUUGGAUUCGAACACUCUGGUCGAGGGGGAGCAUUCUUUCGAGAGGGAGAAUAAGAGAGUAAAUGCUGAUGUUGAGGGGGAGAUAUUACAAAAUAAUGAAAAUUAUCAUGAUGUUAAUGAUGUUUGUUCAAUUGCAGGCUUAGAUUAUGAUGAAUUGUAUGAAGACGCACCUCUGGACUUCGAUCCAACUUAUCCACCUAUGGAAAAAUGGACAAAAGAUCAUCUGAAGGAUCAAAUAAUUGGAAGUCCACAAGAAGCAGUACAGUCAAGAGCUCAGAUUCGUGCAAAGAAUGAGGUAUUAAAUACUCAUCAAGAAUUUUGCAUGUUUAAUGUUUUCAUCUCUUAAAUCGAACCAAAGAAUGUGAAGGUUGCAAUGGAACACUCAGAUUGGGUUGUUGCAAUGCAAUCUGAGUUUUCUGAAUUUGAAAGAAACAAAGUUUGGAGAGUAAUUCCUAAACCUGAAGAUGUUUCAAUUGUCAGGUUAAAAUGGAUUUUCAAAAUUAAAACCAACAAAGAUGGAAAUAUCAUUCGAAACAAAGCCAGACUUGUUGUUAAGGGAUACUCUCAACAAGAAGGAAUUGAUUACGAAGAAACUUUUUCCCCUGUCGUAAGACUCGGGGCGGUUCGUAUAUUUUUGGCUUAUGCAGCUCACAAAGACUUUGAUGUUUAUCAAAUGGAUGUGAAGUGUGCAUUUCUGAAUGGAGAACUCGAAGAAACUGUUUAUGUGGAACAACCCCCAGGUUUUGUUAACGAAGAUUGUCCUAAUCAUGUUUAUAUUUUAGAUAAGGCAGUUUAUGGUUUAAAACAAGCUCCACGAGUCUAGUAUGCAACUCUUACUUCAUUUUUGAAGCAAUCUAAAUUUAAACAAGGAUUUGUUGACCCCACAUUAUUUCAUAAGAAAGUUGGGAAUCAACUUAUGGUUGUUCAAAUUUAUGUUGAUGAUAUUAUUUUUGGGUCAACUGACCCUGCUUUGUCUAAAGAAUUUGAAGACUUGAUGAAAAGUAAGUUCGAAAUGAGCAUGAUGGGUAAAAUAAAUAAUUUCUUGGUUUAAACAUUCGUCAAAGCAGAGAAGAAAUAUUGAUUAAUCAAGAAAAAUAUACGAAGAAUUUGUUGGAGAAGUUUGGAUUAACAAAUAGCUUGAAAUUACGAGUUCCAAUGGAAACUGGCAUCAAGCUAACUCCUUCGUUAGAGAAACCUACAGUUGACCUAACUUUAUACAGAAGCAUGAUUGGAUCUUUACUAUAUUUAACUGCAAGUAGACCUGAUAUCAUGUUUUCUGUAUGUAAUUGUGCUAAGUAUCAAUCAAAUCCUUGAGAACCACAUCUCACUGCUGUGAAGAAUAUCUUUCUUUAUCUUAAAGGGAUUAUUUUGCUAGGAUUGUGGUAUCCUUCGAAUAUUUGGUUCUUUGUUCAAGCAUAUUCACAUGCAGAUUUGGGAGGUUGUAACCUUGAUAGGAAAAGCACAUGUGGUGGAUGUCAGUUGCUCGAUGGAAAAUUGGUGAGCUGGCAAUCGAAAAAACAAACGUGUGUUUCAAUCUCAACGGUUGAAGCAGAAUACAUAGCUGCCGCUACAUACACUUCACAGAUUAUAUGGAUCCAAAGUCAAUUGCAUGAUUAUGCAAUUAAUAUGAAAAAGAUUCCUUUAUAUUGUGAUUCACAAAGUGCAAUAAGAAUUUGUCACAAUCUUUUGCAGCAUUCGAAGACUAAACAUAUAGCUCUUCGUUAUCAUUUCAUCAAAGAUCAUGUGGAAGAUGGAAAUAUCGAAGUACACUUCGAGAAAACAAUUGAUCAGUUGGCUGAUAUUUUCACAAAAGCUUUGGAUGAAAAACGUUUGUACGGAUUUUGGAAGGAUUGGGAAUGAUUAAUGGAAAUUCAAUUCCACGCAAAAAAGACAAAUAGUAAUUAAUCAAGAAUGAGUCAGAGGCGCUGAAUAAAAGACAAAGCAAAAUCAUUCAGCGUUUAGAGGUUACUGUUCAUAGCCAACUCUUCAAACGCUUCGAAUUCGUAUGAUUGUCAUUUUUUUCAGAAGUUUGGUAAAACUUCGUAUGUUUGUAACAAGUACUUUUGAUUGUUAGAGUCACUUCAUUUUCGAAAAGUCAAAAACAUCAAAAAGAUUUUCAUUUUAUUUCGUUCUUUAUUUUCGAAAAAUUCAAAAACAUCAAAAAGAUUUUCUCUUUAUUUUGUUCUUUAUUUUCAAAAAAUCAAAACAACAAAAAGAUUUUGUUUCUUCUUUCUUUUUAAGUACUUUGUUGCAGAUAUUCAUGAAGAUACAAAGAGGAUAAGGUUUGCAGUUCUAGGGUCAGGUACAUCUAUAAUUCUAAUCUUUGAAUUUCAGAUUUUUUUGAACUAGUUAAGAUGUCCCUAGAAGCAUGUUGCAUCAUGUUGUCCAAAACCUCCACUGACUCACUGUGUGUGUACGAAGGCCGUAAUGAAAUUUUCAUACGAAGAUUUCUUCCAAAUCAGGCUUGUAUUCACAUUAGUCUACUGAGCUACCUGACUCUUCUCAUAUGGGUAAAGAGUUUAUUGUUUUAUCCAAAUUUAACAGAGGUACACUUCGUGUCUUACACCAAUGUUUUUCAUCUAAACCUUCUUUCACAAUCACACACGAAGACAUAUGUCCAAGGGGUCUCUGAUCAAACCAAUCGAGACUUAGACAUAUCAUCAAUUUGUGCUAAUGAUCUGACAUCAUGAGUCCGUGAUGAAAGUGAAACCCAAAUUUCUAAGUAUUUAAGGAAUUGUGGGGGACUAUGUUCCAAAUUUUACGACACUUUUGUUUAUGUACCUACUUUCAAAACUCCAAAUCAUAUUCAUUUCGUAUGAGUGGUCUUGAUCAAACAUUCGAAACCCACGAAGUUUGUUACCAACAAGAUCCAACACAAUUUUUUUUGAAUAUGAUUUCCGUUGUGAGUUUAAUUGGAAACCAAAAGUCACUUUCAAUAUUUUUCAAAGCAAAUGUGUCAUUGACUACACUGGUCAAACAAGUAAUUUAUGUUCCAAUUACUCACCUUAUGUUUAGGUGAUAUGUAACGAAAUUUAUGAAGCCACCAUUGAAGCUUAUAAAAGAUGCCCUUCAAAACUUCUCUAUAAGUUUUCGAUUGUAUUUCACGGGAACAUACACAAGCUAGUGAUCAUCUCUCUUGAUGAUUAAGAAGCAAACUUUGCCCGAGGUUUAACUGCCUUGGUGUGAAAUUAAAUUUUUGACAUCACAGAAUCCCCAAAAAAAAAUUAUCAUUGUUUCUUGUCUAAAUUCUUUGGAACACUGCACUCACGAAAUCCUUGAGGUUCUGAGUAAUACCAACUCGGGCUGAUGAUUUCAAACAUCUGGCAUAUGGCAUCGCUUUUUAUCCCAAAAGUAAAAGAGCCUUACAUCCAUCUGAAGGGUUCUGAUGGUUAUAAUUCUCUUGGGGCAACCAAUACAGCCUGUAUUUCAAUGACGUAUGGUCUACUGUCCAGGUUUCAAGGCGAUGGGACAACUACUUUUUGAUGCAUGGCUACAUUAACGGAGUAGUGGUCCGAUUUUCAAGGUGCCAUGUCAGCUGGCAUUAAAUGCACAUCCCGCUUUUAAUUUAAAUAUCAGGGUUACAUAUAAAAAGGAGAUUCAAGGGUCCUUUAUCUCUUUACGCAUUCAAAGAAAAUUCCUAAUUCUAUCUGAGUUUCAAAGCUUCAAAACCGUAACAAUGGCGACUACUGCUAAUGACAAUGAUGAACCUUCUCAAACAGCUGAUGAUGUUUCUUCACUACCAAUCAUGAAGAUUCAGGGUACAAAUUAUCCAGUGGAAUUUGGUGUGUCACAAUAUCCAGAAGAACUCAAGAUGCUCGUUGUUGCUUUGAAGAGCUCUGUUUUAUCAAAGGUGAUGUUCAAUUCUUUCUCUGUUCUGAUUACUUGGUUAUCUUAGGCAGGUUCAACGGCUAUAGUUACAAAAGCUAUUGAUGCAGUUACUUUCAACCUCGUGAAUGAUAAAAAGGUUAGAAUCACCAAAAAGCGUUUCUGUCAGAUUCUGGAUAUCCCAAAUUCUCCACCAUACGUUGAUUUCACUUUCCCUCAAAUUGUUCAUAUGUUCAAUGAGAUGGGACAUCAACCUCAAUUAUCAAAAGUUAGUGACUUCAAGAAGUCAAGUCUUCCCAAAGUCUAGAAUUUUAUGUUUGGGAUUUUCUUGAGGUGUUUAACUGCAAGAACGGUGGGUCAGGAUAAAGGUUGUAUGGAAGUAUAUGCCAUGCUUGUUGGGCUAUACUAUGAUCUACAUGUUGAUUAUUCUUCUCAAUUAUGGAAAGAAUUUAAGAAGAGUGUAGAAAACACGGAUGCUAUUCAUGGUAUUUUGUGUGCAAGAUAUUGGAGUUUAAUCUUGCCGUAUUUCUAUAACAAAGAAGGAAUUUUGGUUCCAAAUGACAAAGACAAAGCAGUUUUUCAUGUGUAUAAUUAUGCCAAGAAUGCUACGGAUGAUGCUGAUGAAUUUGCUUCUGUGGCUCGAAUCCCAGAUGCAAUGCUGAAAACGGUUGAUCCUUCAAACUCUGUGUUAGAGGCUUAUUUGCAAACCAUAAACACAUUAGUGAAAACCGGUGUUUUGUUAAUGAAGGAGGAGAAAAAGUCUAAGCGUGGAAAGAAACGAAUAUGGUUCUUUUGAGAAACCGGUAAAUGAAACUAAGCCUAAAAAGUCUCCAAAGAAGAAGUCUGUUACAGUCGCAGAACCGAUUAUACACGAAGUUUCUGUUGCUUAGACCAAACCUGUUGAGCCUACCACUGUCAAAGAGACUCAAGAACAAGAGAUAAUUCCUUCGAAGACUGGGGUUUUUCCUAGACUUUGAAUGAUGUCUAAACAUUCACAAAAAUAUUCACCCCAUGUUGAUCGAAAGCCUCAAUUGACACACUAAGGUGUGUUAAUUCGCGAAGUUCUAACGCCCGUUUCUCCAUCUUCGAAGAAACGCAAGGCUGAAGAUCUGGCCAAACACUUGUCUCACAAGAAGAAGAAGUCACGAAAGCUUGUGAUUACAAAUGAGUCUACUGAAGAAGGUGAAAGAAUUCCUGAAACUUCUGAUCUUGAUCUCAUUAAAGAAGUCUUAACUCUUGAACAAACAAGUGUUAUUCCACCAGAAGAUUCGAAUGUCAAGUUAUCUAAUGAGGAGACACGAACUUUGGACAUCACUGUAUACGUAUCUAAUACGGAUACAAAUGUCAAUAUGGGUGAAGAAGGUCGGAAUGAUUAUUUUCAAGGUAAUCCCAUUUCCACUACUUCUGAAACUUUUGUCUCUCUACCUCCUCAAAUUACUCCUGUCACCUCUACCACUGAUUUCCUAACAUUUGAAAACAUCAUAAAUCAAACUUUCACUUCCAUAUUUUCUUCACAAUCAACUGAUCCACCCAAACCCACUUCACCUGUUGAUGAAACUGUUGUAAUGGAAACUGAUAUGGAUAACGAAGGUUUUAGAGGAACCUUUAAGGCUUUGUCAUUUGAUGAUGAUGAAGAAGAUUUUCCGGAUCAUAUGCUUAUGAAUAUGAAGUAGUUCAAAAUCUUGAAUUCAAAGUUAAAUUCUAUUAUUCACUCACAAGCUGACCUUGGUGGUGGUUCCUCAGUUUCAAGCUUGGAAGUAGAUUCAAUGUUGAAGAUGUGCAAAGCAAGGAUUAUUAACAAAAUCUUUGGGAUGCUUAGGGAAUCAGACAGAAGGAUAUUGGAAAAAGUUGAUCAAAUUGAUAAUACUAAUGAAUUUCGUAUAAGUUCUCUGACUUAAAAAGUUUCGGAAGAAAUUAAGGACUUGAAAACGUUGCUUAAAGAGAGACAUGUUCUGUUUGCUCAAGAUGUGAUGAAUGUAAAGGAGGAUGUGAAUAUGCAAAUUCGUGAACUUCGUGAAGAUCUGCAAAUGGAGGUUGCAAGUGUUCAACAUGAUUAUGCUUCCUUCCAUAAAAAAGUUGACAUAAUUUGUGAUGUGGUCACUAAAUUUGUCAAAUUGUAUGAAAGUAUGAGUCCUCAACUUACUCAACUUUCUACAAUGGAAAAUAAAAAUUUUGCAGAGGUACUUUUGUUACUCAAGGAGUUGAAACAAUUAUCUGUCAAGCAUGUUUCCUCAUCCUUAGUCACUCCAGAAUUUUUGUCCCAGAAGUUUAUUCAAUUCGAAGCCAUCCUUCAAAAACAAUUAUCUCCUUUUUCUCGCAUUUCAUGUCUUCUACCAGCCAUGUCGGAUGCCCCAGCUGUUUUCAUAGGGGUGCAAGGGGGAGAAAAGAGAAUUGAAUCUACGAAGGCUGAAAAAAGAAGCGAAGGUUAGUGGUGAAGAUUCGAAGGUGGUGGGAAAAGUGUUUUCUUCAAAGAUCGCAUCUUCAAAUCCUGUUAUAAUGUCUGUUGGUCAACUCACUUCGGCUAUUGUUACAACGAUGCCUAUGACUAGACCAGUACAGAAAGGUGUUGUUAUUGGUGAGGCAGCUGGAAGUGCUUCGAAAUCUAAGGUAGUAAUGGGAGAGUCUGGUUCGAAAUAAAAAGGUAAAGGCAUAAUUAUUGAAAAGACUAAAGAAGAAAAGAAGGUUGAGGUCAAUGCUGAGUUGGAAAAGAUGAGGAUGGUUCAAAGUGUGAUGGCUCUUCAUGCACAAGAUCCUCCAGGCUUAGAGAAAGGAGAUCCAACAAAGCAAUACAACUAUGAAACAAUUGAAGCUAAAGUGACAUUUGAUUACAUGUAUUCUUUUGAAAAGGUACCAAAUAAAAGUUGUGUGGUUACAAACAUUGAUGCAAGUCAGCUUAACUUUCCAGUGAAUGAGUUCAUAAUGCCUCAGUUUAAAGCUGAAAUAAUCUGUAAAGACAUGAAUGAAGGGAAGCUGAUGAAAAUUCGAUUUUCAUGCUGUGUUAGCAAAAGCUCUAGAAGAUGUUUGGUCAUUGUUGAAAAUCAAGAAGAUGGGAAAGCAUAAAAAGAGAUGUGAUUUUCGAAGGCGUUAUUCAAAAUCUAAAAUAUACGGUGAUCAGGUCAAAUGGAAAAUUUAGUGAAUUUACUAUUGCUGAUUUUCCUAUAAUGAACUUGUAUGAUCUUAUACAAGUUGCAUUGAUUUUGAAAGAUAAAUCAUUUUCUCAUCUUCAAGAAACAGAGCCUGAUGUAUUCCAGCUUGGAGUUAAGCACAUCAAGAUUUUCAUUGAAAAUUAUUUUGAGUGUUUGGCUCAAACCGAUGUGGAGUUAGCUACUGCAAAGGGAAUUGAUAUCACUGCUCCAAUGGCUCCUACGAAGAAGCAAGUUGAUUUGAAAAAGUAUGAUGAUGGAGAAAUAUGUUUGAAGCCAUUUGGAAUAGUCUUUGCUGGAAAGGAUAAAGUUGGAAGAGCUAAACGGUUUUUGUUCAGAACAUGUGAAGUGGACAGAUAUGCUACUUCACAGUAUACGAAUUUGAUUGUUUGUAUGAAUCAGUGCAGGAAGAAUAAUGAAGGGGAAAAGAAGGUGAUCAAGAAGGUUAUUACUUGGUAUAUUGAGAUACGAAGAGUGAUGAUGUACUCAAUCCAACUGCUUACAAACUGAAGACUUCGACUAUAAUUACAUAAGGGAGAUUGUAAGGGCUAAUUUGGUUGUAAUUAGUCGAAGUGUCAUAGGUCUUCGUAUGUAGUAUAGUCUUCGUAUUCUUUGUAAUCUAUUUUACUAGGGCACAUUAUUCAAAGCUUAUUUGUAUAGUCCUUAGUAUAAUUUUUGUACGCUUUUCAUCUUGUAUAAAUAAGAGUCUUUACUAGAGUUAGAUAACGUUUUUAUAGUCUUGUCUGUUUUGCACUUUGUAAACCUAAAAGCGUAAUAUUGAGCUGAAACAAUAUCUUAUUUACAUCGGUGUUCAAUCUCGCAUACAUUUUUGAUUUCAUACUCUGAUUAAUUUUCAUACUCGAUUCUUUGAUUCUACAAUUCUUCAGGAUUUCAGGAGUUGGGUGAUCAUUGAGUUUGACUAGCAAUGGAACGCUAGUAUUGUUUAGUGUAGGGUAUGGGUGGUUUAUGCUAUUUGAGGGAGAGGGGUCGGAGAUCCACAUGGAAUAAGAGGUGAGAGAGCUUCGUCAAGUCCAAGUGGGGGAGAUUUAAGUGGCUAUUCAAAUUUAGGUUGUGUGGUGGGAGUUCAGGAAACUUCCAACCGUUGGGCGACAUCUCCUCGAUUAUGCAUAGGAGGUUGUGGAAAUUUGAAUGUGUUACCCGAACUCAUUGGUUGUAGGAUUCAGCUCUGGAUACAUGGUAUUGUGAUGAUUUGAGUGUGGUAAGGUUGUGGGUGGUAACCAUGGUUGGUUGGAAGUGUUGUAAGACUGCAAUCGGAUCGUAGCAUUCACCAGUUCGAGGUGGACUGACAUUGAGUUGGUCAUGAGAGGCAAGGAGGGGAAUCAGUAUGUGCCUUGUGCACACAGGUCAGGAUCAUUGAGAAGUAUCCUCUAUGUUAGGUUGAGGACCAUUGGGGUCCGAGGCAGAUUCGGUCUUGUGUAACUCUAGAUGAGUAGGACUCGUGGGCAAGGCUUGUAUGUUUAUGGCAAUGUAGGUGGAACCUGGUAGAGAAUGUUGGGUCAAGGUAUUGGAUCUUGAGUUGUAGGAUCAUGUGCAAGAUUGAUAGCCUCAGAGAUGGUUUGGGGGAGUAUUUAUUUAUUUAUCAGGUGAGGGGUCAUCGGGAAUCAGAAGUUUGUGGUGUGAAAUGCAAGUACAGAUUUGUGGAUCUUGGGUUAUGAUUGGAGUAUCAAAUUGGCUUUUGGUAAGAUCUCAAGUUGGGUAUCGUGCAUGUUAUGUGCAUGAUUUUCGUUCCAAUAUAAUAAGAAUUUGGGGUAUCUAUACGCCAAGGGCAUCAAUCACAUGGUUCAAGGGUAAUAAUUAGGUUUAGUUUUGAUGGCAUGUCCAGCCAUUGUGUUCUGCUUUGGGUUGGUUCUGUCUGUUGAAGGGCCACAACGUGUUUGGAAUUCGGAGAAGGUAGGUCGUUGGAGACCGGGAAUGACAUGAGACUAUAGUUGGUCUUGUGGAAUUCUUCUAGUAGUAAGUAUGGUGUCGAGGUGGUUUGAGCUAUUAUCACCAGAUAAGGUUACUCUUGGGAGCCGCAUGGGGCUACAUUGUGUUUUUGCAUCUUUUGGCUCAGCAAUCGAGUAGGAUUCCGGUGUUUCAGAUAGUUGGAAGACAAGUUGCGACCAGGGAAGCCUCGACUUCUUUUGGAAAGCAGCUAAGUGGCAGCAAGAUGAGUUGGAGUGGUUUUAGUAAUUUGGUACUCGUGUGUGGAGUCGCUUGUGAUUUGGGGCAUAUGAUAAAUCGCUCGCAGUGGGAUUAAAUAAUCUUAGAGUUGUUGAAUAGAUCCGGUUGCAUAGCUCUUGUAUGAGUGUAACCGUUACAGGAAGGAAUCUUCUACUUGAAGGUUUAUCUAACCCUUCUGUCAAGGGUAGCCUUUUGCAGCUGUUCAUGAUCAGAAAUUUUGUUCCUAUGGAGGUAUCACAAUAAUUACGUUUGGAGGUAUUUUGUUCUGUCUGGAAGUCAUGUGGAAUGGUACGAUAAUGGUUCAGUGUGAUCGGUCUUUCGGUAAGUCAGAUCAAUGUGAGAUUUCGGGUUUCGAGAAAGUUAGAGGUGGUUUUCUGCAAAGGGGUUAAGGUAUGUUCUGCUUCAGGUUCGGUGAAGUUUUAGAUGGGUUUUGAGCACUGCAUCAUUCCUAUGGUGUACAUGCAAACCCUAAAGCUUUGGAUCUAGUUUGUCUAAUGAACAUGCAAUAAUCAUCCAAAGCCAUAAACCCUAAAUCUAGCAUGUGAUAAUCGAUAUUAACAUAAGAAUAGGUUUUAGAUCUUACCUUGAUUGUUAUGUUGUAAUAACAAUCUCAAUUCCUCCUUGUUAUUGGCUUCUGAAAGCUUAGUGUCACAAAUGUCACACCUCUAAUGGCUCACAAACACCAAGAGCAAGAGGAUGACUGAGGAGAAGAGAAGGAAGUACUAAAAUUCGUCCAAGAACCUUAAGGGAAGCUUAGCCACGUUUUUGGUGACCUAGAGGUCCUUAUAUAUGUGAGGCUAUUAGGGUUUUGAACUAGGAAACCCUAAUCUAACUGCUUAGGCCCUAAUCAACCCAUGGACUACCUUUAGAACACCCCUUGGACGAAUUCCUUAUGGGAUUCCAUAGAAUUCGUCCAACCUAUGUUCCAAGGUGAUCCAUAGCCCAAUUACAACUAUCUUAUACUUACAAUGUCAAUCCCCCAAGUUUAAUUAAAGUCUUUUAGCAACAAAAUUAAUUUCCUAAUUAAUUCUUGACUAAUAUUAAUUAAACAAUAUGAUUCUUCCUUUAAGAUAUAUCAUUCAUAUAAUAUAUUAAUAAAUCAUAAUUAUUCUUUUUCUCCAUAAAUCAUCCUAUCAAUUUGCUUUGGUGAAGGCAACCCAAAAGGACCAUCCUCACAAUCGGGUCAAGUACAUACCAAAAUAGUUAUGGGCUUAGACACUAAUUCAACAGUCUCCCACUUGGAUAAGUCUAAUAACUAUUAUGUGUAUGACUUCAGAUCCUUAUCAACACUCGUAGCUUUCAAAUGUCGUUGUCAACUCUGAUCUUAUCAGAUAUGCUUCUUUAGAUAAGCGAUCAUAUAUUCCUCCAUUCUAGAUAUCAUAUAGACGUGAGACAUGGAUUGAAAUCAUUCUCUCAGUCUAUGUGUUGUUUCCCGAUUUCCGAUUUACGACGACUGACUAAUUAAACAAAUCAAAUUAGUCCUGGCCCGACCGAGCACUUAAGUUUGUCAUCACUAAAUCAUCAAGGGGCCCACAUAUAUCAAUUUUAUCCCACUUUUAGUAAAAAGAAUGGAUAAAAUUCAACUCAAUGCUCACUUGUAUUCACUCACCGAAUUACACACAACAAUACGUUUUAUAACACCAAGUUACUGGUGCGUUUACAUAUUAUCAAUGUGUAACCGACUCGCAAAAUACAACUCACACAUCUCGGUUUCAAGAAUAUAAGAUAUUAUCGUCUCACCAAUCACUCGUGAUAAAAUCCAUGAAGCGAUCCAAGUGAGCGUGGGUUUAAUCCAAUGCUCAAGUCUUAUUCAUAAGCACUCAUGAACGUUGCAGCAAACCUUUUCUAUGUGUAAUACACUUUAGACAAUCUACAAACCAAUUCUUGACAAUCUUCUUUCUAACCUACUCCCAAUGUAUGAGCGACUAUGGAUCGUUUGAAUAAUCUUACUAUUCAGGAAGUCAAAACAUGCAAAGUGAAACACAAUAAUAAUCGAAUCCAAUAAGGCCCCAAAAUUUUGAGUGUAAAUCAAACUCCUUUUAUUUAGUCACCGUAUUGAUUACACAUUAUUCAUUGUAUAAUAUUUCAAGUAAUUAACUUAUUAUUUGAAUUAUAACAACAAUUUUAUGCUCUUAGCAUGCACACUAUGUUUAUCUAUGGUCCUUACUUUGUGAAAUAGUAUAAUUGAAUAACAAUCACACUCAUUUUACAAUUCCCAAUCCUUACUACAAGUGUAAGAAUACGAAAUUCUUGCCACUAGUUGACCAUGUUAGAUUCUAACAUUUUAUGCAACGAUCCUUUCGUAAUAUCAUAGAACCAAAGUCACAAAGACUAGGGCCAAUGAAAUCACAAAGUCCUCUAUUGGAGAUUGUUCCAAGAGAAUUCCAUAUAUAUGAAGUCUCACAUUCAAAGUACAUUUCUUUAAACAUCAUUCUUGCAUAAAAGUUUCUAAUAUAUACAUAGAUUCUUAAUAUCCAACUCCCACAUAUGGAAACAUUCCAUAUUUGCCAUAUGACAACUCAUUCUAAAUAGAAUGCUAUUUAUUUGUAAUAAUGUCGAUAUGGUCCAUCCAUUACUAUACUUCCAACCACCCAUAAGCAACCAAUCCUUGGCGAACCUUAGAUUGUCCUUGAUAGUUGUUUAAUAAACUUAGUCAUGUCCGGUUCCAGUCCGUUUUCCCUCUUAAUUCCCUAAGCAUUUAGAAAAUUUUAGAACGGCCAAAUAAUAUAGCCUAUGCGAUCAAUCCUAUACCCGAAGCGUAUGGAACAGGAUGCAUAAUAAAGAUGUCAUACUUUACCAGUCUUUUGCCAUAAUAUUUCUAUUUGUCAUGUUCUCACAACGCGAACUACGAAAAGGGAUGUCGUAAUCAUAGUAGAAUUUUGAGAACACAAUUCAUAUAUUUGAGUAAUAAAAAAUCUCUCGAUCUAAGCUCUUAGAUUUCAAAACGAAGUAUAGUAUUCUCUCCCUUAAUUAUAGCAAACAACCUUUCAACCCUUGCAACUUGGCAAGUAAAACUCUUGUUUUCUAUAAUUAAUAUUUUUGGCUCGCAUCUUUUAAAAGUAAUAAUCAUGCUCCCACUAACAUGAUGAUUAUAUCUUUACCAACAUAACAUUUAUGCUCCCACUAGAUUUGACAUGUAUUCAGAAAACAAAAGGACUCUUAGAAAUCAAUGCUUAUUGACUUUCUUCAGUUUAUAUUUCUAAUACUAAAUGCUUCAUUAAAACUUUAUCUAAGCUUCUCUAACUCAUACAUCUUUCUUUAGACAACCCAUAUGUUUGUCUAAACAAUGCUAGAACUUAUAACAAUAAGUCUAAAAUGUUCAGACCCAUUUUCCAUUUCCCAUAAUUAAAACUAUGAAGAGGGAUGCUGUAAUCAUAAUCGAUUUCGAGAAACGCAAAUUACUAAUGCUAUCUUCAAAAUCUCUCUUAGUGAAAGCAUUUCCUAACAAUAAUUUUCAUGAAGGAGAGAAACCUUAUGACACUUAGAUCUUGUCGUGUAUGUGCUCCUAUCCAUGUGAAUUUGUCAUAACCAUAAUCAUAAGACAAUGUUUGUGACAAAUCCAAACUCUUAUGGACAGAAAUUGCUCAUUCUUAAUUGCUUGCCAUCAAGGGUCCCACCAUUGCUUCUAAGUUAUUGAUCAGCUCACCCUUAUCCUUCAAUGUACUUUCCAUUUAUCAAGGUCCCUUGCCUCUAUGCAACCCCAUGAGAACUCAUUGAACUCACAUGCAUAGUUGACCAAACUGGAAUGGCACAGAAAGAAGAAUAAGUGAACACGAUAGGUUAAAACCUCAAGUCGUGUGCUAGCGUUUAAUAAUAGGUUUACUCUUGAUUAGUUCUUGAACCGUUUUUCAAGAUCAUUUAGACUCCCACUGACCUCUUGACAUAUAAGAUUCCCAUGUCAAGAAACAUUUCUUGACAAACAAAUACUCAAGAGUUAGUAUGUGUCUUUAUCAAGAAAAAACCUACAUGUGUGUAUACGCAAACCCUAAAGCUUUGGAUCUAGUUUGUCUAAUGAACAUGCAAUAAUCUUCCAAAGCCAUAAAUCCUAGAUCUAGCAUGUGAUAAUCGAUAUUAACAUAAGAACAGGGUUUAGAUCUUACCUUGAUUGUUAUGUAGUAAUAACAAUCUCAAUUCCUCCUUGUUCUUGGCUUCUGAAAGCUUAGUGUCACAAAUGUCACACCUCUAAUGGCUCACAAACACCAAGAGCAAGAGGAUGACUUAGGAGAAGAGAAGGAAGCACUAAAAUUCAUCCAAAAACCUUAAGGGAAGCUUAGCCACAUUUUUGGUGCCCUAGGGGUCCUUAUACAUGUGAGGCUAUUAGGGUUUUGAACUAGGAAACCCUACCCUGACUGCUUAGGCUCUAAGCAUCCCAUGGACUCCCUUUAGAACACCCCUUGGACGAAUUCCUUAUGGGCUUCCCAUAGAAUUCGUACAACCUAUGUUUCAAGGUGAUCCAUAGACCAAUUGCAACUAACUUAUAAUUACAAUGUCAGUCCCCCAAGUUUAAUUAAAGUCUUUUAGCUACAAAACUAAUUUCCUAAUUAAUUCUUGACUAAUAUUAAUUAAACAAUAUCAUUCUUCCUUUAGUAUAUAUCUUUCAUAUAAUAUAUUAAUAAAUCAUAAUUAUUCUCUUUCUCCAUAACUCAUCCUAUCAAGUUGCUUUGGUGAAGGCAACCCAAAAGGACCAUGCUCGCAAUCGGGUCAAGUACAUACCAAAAUAGUUAUGGGCUUAGAAACUAAUCCAACAGUUUUGCUAGGAUCGGUUUCGGUUGUCUUGGGAAGGUUGUGGUAUUCUAGGGUUGUGGUUGUGUUUCUCAGAUUGUUUGGCAUGUUGAGAAAGGUAAGGAUGGAUUUUGAGGAUGAAAUCUAAUUUAAGUGGGAGAGAGUUGUAACACCUUGUUUCGAAUUGUUCCGUUGUUAGGGACGGUGAUUAGGGAUAGGGUAUUAGCAGGCUUCAGAUCCUUGAUGAUUGAGUUUUGGUCCCAGUUGGAGUUGGAUAACGUAAUCCAGAUGUUUCAGGUAAUCGGUUUGUGUUUAGAAUCAAAGGGCAUUUCGGUAAUUUUCCAGUUUGGCCUUUUAUGAAAAGUAGAUUUUCGUUCAGGAUAUCUUAUGGAGGGUAUGAAGUGAUAACAGUGUUGAGCAUCUCGAUACCUUUUGAUGGAUAUAUAAAUAGUCGAAAUCGGAGUUGUAUCAAGAGAGUUAUCGUGUUCAGAAUAAUUAAGGUUUGGGAAAAGCAAAGUACGUGUGGCGUACGAAGGUGGUACGCAGGGGGUACCGAGGCGAAGGGAGUUACAUGAGGCGUAUCUAGAGGAACGUGGAGCAUAGUUGCGAAGUGGGUCAGGGUGCGACACCUCGUACACUAGACGUACGAGGAGGUACGUUGGGCGUACGAGGGUCAGGUUGAAAACAAUAAUUUUAGGGUUGUACCCUAUGUAAGCAUAAUUUUAGCCCUCUUCCUUCAUUUCUAGGUCAGCCUCCACCCUCUCAAAACCCUAAAUCGUCCUUUAGCCUUAAAUGGUGCACUUUGAGCUCAUGGUGUUCAUUUUUGGUGUCUUAGGUCUAUUUCCAAGAAGAUGAAGUUUGGUGCUGUUGGAUUAGGUGUCUAAGCCCAUAACUAUUAUUGCUAUGUAUUCGACCCGAGAGUAGCAUGGUCCAUUUGGGUUGCAUAACAUCAGGACAAUUUGUUAGGAUGGACUUUUGAGAGAAGAGAUUAUAUAUGAUUUAUUAAUAUAUUAUAAUUUAUAAUAUAUUAAUAUGAAAUCAUAUGUUUUAAUCAGUAUUGAUCAAGAAUUAAUUUGUAAUUUAUUUAGUGAUCAAAAGAUACUAAUUAAAUCUAUGGGGACUAAUUAUGAUAAUUAGUUAUACUUAUAUGUGUUCGGCUUAUGAUCCAUGUUGGACCAUGUUUAUGUAUGGAUACAUAAAGAGUUGGGCCACAUGAACCAUGGAUCAUAAAAUCCAUGGGUAUGGAUUUGGGUUAUAUCUAUGACCCUAGAAAUCCCACAUAUAAAUAGAUACUUCAUUGCCCAAAAUCGCCACUUGUAUCAUCUUGGAGUUCAUGGAGGUUUUUGGUGCAUGGAAUUCUCUCUCAAGUUCAUCCUUUGUCCAUGGUGUGUUGUGAUUCCAUUUGAGGCUUCCACACUAUUAGGGUUAAGCUCUUUAAGGCCAAAUACAUCAAGACUUCAAGCUCCAUCAAAAGGUAUGUUAUACUAAUUAGUAUCUCAUAUGGUUUAUGUGAAAUGCAUGCUAGUUGUAAGAUUAAUACCUUGAAAACCAUUUUCAUGUGUAAUUAGUGAAAACAUAGAUCCAAGGUAUUUAGGGUUGUAUGUGCACCAUAGGAUGUUGUGGUAUACCAAAACCCAACAGUGGUAUCAAAGUCGUGGGUUGUUUUCAAUUAUACUUCAUGCAUGUUGCUGAAAAAAACUGAAAAAAUCGAAUUUUUUGGUGUUUGGACAGCAGACUUGACGCGUCCAGUGAUGGACUCGAUGAGUCCAUGAACAAAUUCAUCCAACUCGUCGAGUUGGUUCAUGCACUCGACGAGUUAGACCCCCUGACAACAUAUCUUCGAGUUUUUUUGGCAUGUUUUUUAUUAGAAUGAUUACCACAAAGUGUUUUUGUUCAUAAAAUUUGUUUUUUUGGUACUAUGGUAAUGUUUAUUCUCAUCCAAAUAAAGGAUAAUAAUCAAAGUUUCAAGUUUUAUACAUGUUUAUAUGAUGCUUGAAAAAUGUUGAUUAUGAAUGUUCAUGUUUAUGAGUUUGUUUAUAUUAAUAGAAAAUUUUACGAGAUAGUUUUUUCAAUCCAAAUUAAUCUAGAAAUUGGUAAUAAUAUGUGUUUUGUAACUUGUCCUCAAGUUACAUGAAAAGUCACAUUUAUGAAUUUUAAAAACUCAUAAAAUUGCCAUAGGUUACAAAAUGAAGAGUCUUUUGUCAUAAAUAGUUUUAUGAUCUCCAUAACUUGUCCUCAAGUUAUGGAUGUUCAAGAGUCUCUUCAUUAAUGUUUUUUUAAGACCUUAAUUAAACUCAUGAGUUAUGAAAAUCCAAGGGUUUUGAAAAGUUUCAAAACUUGCCCUCAAGUUUUGGAAUUUGAAAAGUUACCCCCCAUAUGCACUUCAAUUCCAAACUCUAGAAUUUUAAAAGUUAAUGUUCAAACUUUCUGGACUUCAUUAAAUAAAUUAAAGUGUUUAAUUAAAAGAGUUAAUAUUCCAUAAAGAUAUGGUUUAAGUUUAAUUAAAUUAAGAGUAUAGUUUAAUUAAUAGAUUAAACCACUAAGUAUUUUAAAUGUUUAAAAUACACCAUUAUACUAUUAAAAUAUUAAUAGUUAAUACUUAUAUAUAUUUAUAAGAAUAGAGUCAGUCAUACCGUUAGUACGCCUCAUUCACGAAGUCGGUCUAUAAGGGGGGUAUAAGGUUAUUGCCUAUAAAAUGGCAGNNCGAACGGGUUUGAUAGGACUAUAAUUCUCCCUUCAUUAAAAGUAUAAUGAUAAAUACUAAGUAACUAAACACUUAUUAAAUACCCAAUCUUAGUUACUUAGGAAAAUGUGAAUUUGGUGCUAACCCAUGAAAUUCACACUUUGUACCUUACCAAGUCGUUGGUGGAGCGUGUGUGGGGAACCGACAUACUAACUUGGACUAGUAAGGAUAACAAAGGAUGACUUAAUGUUUAGCAUAGAUCAGUGGAGCGCGUGUGGGUAACCGGCACAUCGAUUAGGUGAUAAUAUUAAGGGUACCAAGUGAAUUUGCAUGGUUAUUCACACCUUGUUUUAUGAUCCUUGGCAUCCCAGUCACAAAAUUUGAGAGAGAACACUCGAGAUUGAAACAUGCCAGUGAAAAAGUUCAAUGAAUCUAGAAAGAUCUAGGAGUUUCAAAUCCAAUUAAAACCUAAUAAAUUAUUUCGUUUUUCAUGGUAGAAAUUGGUGAAUCGUCAUUCGCCUACCUUCAAAUAUCUUAUAGCUUGGGUUACGGCAUCCCUCUUCCAAGUUAUAAAAUAUUGUGUUGGGUCCUAGCCUUAAUACUUCAUAUUAGGUGUUGAAUUAAGGACUUAAAAAUCAACUAACUUGAAUAUCUCCCAUUUUAGAUGUCUAGUUUAGACAUCUAUGAUCUACCCAAAUCUCUUGGAAUUUCACUUCCUCCACCCCCUCCAAUUAUUCUCCCUAACCCACAAGUUCAAGGUCACUCAUGCCCUAUUGGCAAGCAAGAUCUACGUGUGAUCACAUCUUGGAGAUGAAGUCACACAUUGACAAGUCGGGAGAGUUGGGUGUCAAAGUCUUGAGAAAUUUGGAUGUUCAAUCACUUUCUAAGUCACAUAGUGAGUUCCUUUGGGACUACUAUGAAACAGACUAUGACAUGACCCUUUAUGAUUUUUUAUCUAUUUGAUUGGUGCUACUGAAUCAAAAAUGAUUUGAGGACUAGUAAAACAAAUUUGAUUAGAAGAUCAACUUCCCAAUCCCUCUAUUGCUGAAGGAUGGGCCAUUGGGUGCGAAGCUGCCUAAUUUACCUUAACAAUCAUAAGGUUGGUAAAGUCAAAGCGUUUGACUAUACUUUGGGUAAAGUGCACUAUCUAACUCAAUUAAGUUCCUAUUUGAGAUUCUUAUACAUGAUGUGACCAGAUCACAUUUUGAUGUUUUGUAGAAUCGAAGAGAGGAAGCUUAAAAGAAGUAUAUGCUGAUUCUCAUGAAGAUGGAUUUCGAUCGCAUGGUUCAGUGAUCAGAAUUGUGAGUUGUUGCUUAAGAGUUAUGAUAUAUUGCUUAGGAAUAGAUAACAACAAAUUUUUCAUAUGUAUUUGCAUUUUAAGGAUAAGUUUUUCCGCAAGGUUUAAAUAAAACUUAAGGUUUUAUUUUAUUUAUUUUAAAUAUCCUUACAGUGGCAUUUGUGAAAAAUGGUUGUUUAUAUGAUUCCAUUGAUAGCAAUAUUGGAAAAUGGAUUUGAUUCUUUCGGAUGUGGUAGUGUCAUAAUUUACCCAAAAGAUCAAUAAGACUAUUCGUGUGUACUAGUCAAGUCCACCACAAAGAUCAAUAAGACUAUUCGUCAUGAUUUACUAAAGUUUAGUAAAUAUGGUUAUACUUACAAGUUUAAUUAUAAUUCUGAAACAUUAGAAAAUAUUCGAUGUAUGGCAGAACGAAUGAGAAGAAUCAAAUUAGGCAGAAAGAUAAAAGUUUCUCAAAUCUGAAAAGAUGGGAGACUAAUUUAGUAUCAUGUUUUAUGAUCAUCUUAAUGAUUAACAUACCAUAUCACAAUUGAUCCUCUAAGGACAUCUUAGUGCAUUCUUAUGGCUAAGAAGAGGAGUCAUGAAUUGUUGGAAUGGUUAAAUCAAGAAGAUGAGUCAUACUUCGUUCCAAAAACAAAGUCUUAGGGUCAUAUUCCAAGAUUGUAACUUGAGUGACACAUCUUAAAAAGGUUUAUUAACACUAGUCAAAUGUAAGAGUAAAAUGUUUUCUACUCUUGUACAUUUGAAAUUGGUAAGUUGUGAUGUUUUGGAUAAAAUAGAGACUAACUUAGGCCAAUUGCGUGAAGUGUUAGUCUUGAUAAGAAUCCGCACUAUCCCUUGAAUAUUUGUUUUGUAAAGGAAUAGUUCUUGACAAGAGAGUAUUAUAUGUCAAGAGGACAGUGGGAGUCUUAAAGGUCUUGAAAGUUUCUGGAACUAAUCAUGGAUAAAACCUAUAGUUCUUCACUAGCACACGACUUGAGGUUUAUAACCUAUCGUGUUGACAUUUCUGUGCCCAUUCCAGUUAAAGUUGGCUUUGCAUAGGAGUUCUGAGAGUUCUCAAUUGAUUGCAUAACUACUUGGAAGCAAUGACAGGCCUUUGGGCUGCCAGUUGGCAAGAAGUUAAGACUGUACAAGUUCAAUUCAUAUGAAUUUGGAAGUCACACUAACCUUGUCUUGUGAUUGUGGUUUUGACAAAAUUCACAUGGAUAGGAAUUCAUACACCAUAAAAUCGAAGUAUCAUAAGUUUUCUCUCCGAUUCAUGAAAAUGAUGGUGAGGAAACACUUUCAUUAAGUAGAUUUUUAGUAGAUAGCAAUUGUGACAUUUGCAUUCUCAAAGUCGUUAGUGGAGCGUGUGUGGGUAACCUGAAAACUAACAUAGACUUGUGAGAAAUGGCAAAUGUCUAAACAAUUGAGACUAUGAUUACGGCAUCCCUUUUCAUAGUUCUAAAAUUGUUUAGACUCACAUUUGAGCUAUCUAAGGAAAGGUGUAUGAUUUUCAUAAAGUCCUAUCAAAGCAUCUUGUAUCAUAAAUCUGAACUUUGGUAAGAGAGUCAAUAAAGUAUUGAUUUCUAGAAUUCCAGCUAAUUUAUGGAUACAUGUCAAAGCUAGUGGGAGCAUAAGUGUUAUGCUAACAAUCAUCAUGUUAGUGGGAGCAUGAUAAUUAUGUUUAAUAUUGCGAGUUAGCAAUGUUAAUUAUAGAAAACAAAAGUUUUAAUUCGUGAAGUUGCAGGGAUUGAAAAGUUGUUUUGCUUUAAUUAAGGGAGAGCAAAUUAUACUUCAUUUCAAUUCUAAAAGAAUAAAUUGAGAUUUUCAUCAUGUUUAGUCAAGUAUAUAUAUGAAUUUUAUGUUGGAAUGGUUCGAAUUAAGGAAAUUCUAUAUAUAUUGUGUUUUCAAAAUUCGAUUAUGAUUACGGUAUCCCUCUUCAUAGUCAAAUUUUGAUACCAUGGCAAAUAAAAAAUAUUGUAGCAAAAGACUGGUCUAUGGUCAUGUCUUUAUGUGAGACAUCAUGAAUCGUGUCCCAUAUGCUUCGGAUAUAGGAUAGAUUUCAUGUGCUAUAAUAGGGAAAACUAUGGAAUUGGAUAUGACUAAAAUGAUUAAGCAACUGUCGAGGACAAUCUGAGGUUUACUAAAGAUUGGUUGCUCAUGGACAGUUGGAAGUAUAAGUGUUAAUUUUUGGAAAGGACCAUAAUUUACAUAUAAUGAAAAGAAGCAACUCUUGUUCAGAAGUGACAGUCAAAAUGGGAAUCUGGAAAGGUUUCCAUAGGUGGAAGUUGAUCUUUCAAAUCUGUGUAAGAUUAGAAAGCUUAAUACAAGAAGGAUGUUCAAAGUAAUGUACUUUGAAUUGGAGACUUCGUUUCCAUGGAAUUGAUCUCCAUUGGAAUGCUCUGUAAUGUCUAUUGACAAGUCUUUGUGACUUUGUGCAUAGUCAUUACAAGAGGAUCAAUGCAUAUAUGUUUAGAGUCUAACAGAUUUAGUUAAAUGGUAGGAAUUUGGAAUUCUUAUAUUUACGAUAAAGAUUUCGGAUUGUGAAAUGAACAUCAUUGGAAUCAAGUUCAAUUUAUUUAUUUAACAAAGUAAAGAUCAUAUAUAAACAUAAUAUGCGUACUUGAUGUGCGGCAUGACUAGUGUUUACAAAAACAUAGUUUACAUGCUUGGAGCAUGGGACAACUAUUGUUUUAAUUCAAGUAUAAAGUUGAUUAUUUGAAACAUUAUACAAUGAAUAAUGAGUAAUCAAUAUGGUGUUUAAAUAAAUGGUGUUUUAUUUACUCUCAAAGGUGCUUGGGACCAUAAAGAAUUAGUAUUAUUCUUGUGUUUCACUUUGCAUGUUUUGACUUCCAGAAUAACUAGGUUAUUCUUUCCGAAUGACUAAGUUAUUCAACCCAUCCACAGUCGAUAAUACGUUGGAAGUAGGUAUUAAGGCAAGACUGUCAUGAAUCGGGUUUUAGAUGUCCAAGGUAGUGGACAUAGUAAGAGUUACUACAACAUUCAUAUGUACUCCAGGAAUAGGGAUUCGAGUAUUGGAUUCAACCCACGCUCAUUUGAAUCACUUCAUGGAUUUUAUCACGAGUGAUCAUGAGACGUUAAUAUCUUAUACUCUUCAAACCUAGAGAUAUGACUUGUUGCCUAUGAGUUGAUUAUACAUUGAUUUCACGAACACGCAUUUGGUUACUCGAUUUUAUAAAAUGUGCCUUUGUGUAUGAUUCAACAAGUAGUAAAACAAGCAUAUGAGUCGAAGUUUAUCCAUUCCUUUUACUCUCAGAGGGAUAAAAGCGAUAUCUCUGGACCCCUCGACGAUUUGGUGACGACAAACAUAAGUGCUCGGCGGGGCCUGGACUAAUUUGAUUUGUUCAAUUAGUCAGUCAUCAUAAAUCGGAAAUCGGGAAACAACAAAUGGACAGAGAGAAUGAUUAUAAUCCCUGUCUAAGUCCAUAUGAUAUCUAGAAUGGAGGAAUAUAUGAUCCCUUAUCUAAUGGACAUGUCAUUUGAUUUUUCAGAGUUUGACAACGGCUUUAACAGCAAGGAUUGCUAGUCAGGAUCUUGGAGUCAUACGCAAUAAUGGUUUUAGACUUACCCAAGUGGGAGACUAUUGGAUUAGGUGUCUAAGCUCAUAACUAUUAUUGGUAUGUAUUCGACCCGAAAGUAGCAUCGUCCAUUUGGGUUGCAUAUCAUCAGGACAAUUUGUUAGGAUGGACUUUUGAGAAAAGAGAUUAUAUAUGAUUUAUUAAUAUAUUAUAAGUUAUAAUAUAUUAAUAUGAAAUCAUAUGUUUUAAUUAGUAUUGAUCAAGAAUUAAUUUGUAAUUAAUUUAGUGAUCAAAAGAUACUAAUUAAAUCUAUGGGGACUAAUUAUGAUAAUUAAUUAUAUUUAUAAGUGUUGUGAUUAUGAUCCAUGUUGGACCAAGUUUAUGUAUGGAUACAUAAAGAGUUGGGACACAUGAACCAUGGAUCAUAAAAUCCAUGGGUAUGGAUUUAGGUUACAUCCAUGACCCUAGAAAUCCCACAUAUAAAUAGAUACUUCAUUGCCCAAAAUCGCCACUUGUAUCUUCUUGGAGUUCAUGGAGGUUUUUGGUGCAUGGAAUUCUCUCUCAAGUUCAUCCUUUGUCCAUGGUGUGUUGUGAUUCCAUUUGAGGCUUCCACACUAUUGGGGCUAAGCUCUUUAAGGCCAAAUACAUCAGGACUUCAAGCUCCAUCAAAAGGUAUCUCAUAGGGUUUAUGUUAAAUGCAUGCUAGUUGUAACAUUAAUACCUUGAAAACCAUUUGCAUGUAUAAUUAGUGAAAACAUAGAUCUAAGGUAUUUAGGGUUGUAUGUGCAGCAUAGGAUGUUGUAGUAUACUAAAACCCAACAGGUACAAGGAUGGGAAUCAAGGAAGAGCUUAUGGAGUUUGCUCAAGUGUCUCAUUUCCAGCAUGUUGGAGGUAAAAAGAUUUAAACUUGAUCAAUCAUGUCUUAGAUCUAUCAUUUAUGGGUUUUGGUUCAUUUUGGACCUAAGAAUGAGAUCUAGUGGUCUUGAUUCCACUCGAGGAGCUUUGAGUUGCCCCUCUUAGUGUUUCUAAGGUUUAAGGUCCAUAAAUGUGGAACCUUUAGAGUUUAAAACCGUCUAUGGUUGAGUUUGGGUCCCUUUCAUGAAAGCAUAAUGCUAAACUUUGAGAUUGGGUCUUCUUGGGGCAUGUAAAGUCACCAAGUCAGUGACUUUAUGAUUCUAGACAUUCAUUUUGUAGUGGACAUGUGGUUUGGACUUAAAGGAUCAAGCAUUAGCAACUUAAUGAAGGUUUUGGAUCAACGGAGGAGUACGUUGGGCCAUGAUUUGGGCCACAAGUGGUUCUUGGUAUUUUGGGCUUGAGUGGUUAAGUUAUUAAUGGGUCAUCUAAAUACAAAGUGUUUUGGAUUAGAAAGAGUGGUUGGGCCUUAAUUUAAGGCCUGUGUAAGGGGUUUGGGCCCAAUUUGGAAAAUUGUGCCAUUGGUUGAUUAAUUAGCCUUUGGGCCUUUCAGUUGUAAGUUUGGUUCUUAGAUUUAGUCAUGGCCAAGUUAGGGGUAAAAUGGUCUUUUUACCCCAGGUAUGGAAUUGUGGUUAUUGAUUGGAACCUAAUUCUUAAUUGGGAGUUGUUUUGUUAUUGAUAGUUCGGGGAUCUGUCAGCCAGCAACCAAGGGUGUUUCUGUGUGAUUCAGUAGUGCUAGGUGAGUCUUCUCACUAUAUCCAUGGGUCGAACGCAUCAAUGUCGGUCGAUUACGUGUUAUGUGGUAUGCUAGUUGUCUCUGUGAUACUUAGAUAGAAGACCCCGGGGGAGCCCAUGUCAAUUGGAUAUCAGACCAUGGGGGAAGCUCAUGGCAUUCCCGAUAAAGACCAUGGAGGGAGCCCAUCGCUUACCAGAUAAAGACCAUGGGGGAGCCCAUGGCAACUAUAUGUAUGUUUCAUGGUAAUCUAUAUAUGUGUGUUCGAUGGUAUCUUUGGAAACUCACUAAGCUUUGUGCUUAUGGUUUUCAGUUUAUGUUUCAGGUACUUUGGUUUUCAAAUGGAUAGGCUCGGAACGAUGGCAGAGCACAUACCUCAUGUUUCUGCCUUCUGUGAAUUACUCUGAUCUGUCGAUGUUUUGCUAAAACUUAAUUACUAUGGUUUUUUUGGAAGAGACAUGUAUUAACAAUUAAUUAAUUUAAAAACAAAAAAAUUUACGUCACGAUAUUCANNNNNNNNNNNNNNNNNNNNNNNNNNNNNNNNNNNNNNNNNNNNNNNNNNNNNNNNNNNNNNNNNNNNNNNNNNNNNNNNNNNNNNNNNNNNNNNNNNNNNNNNNNNNNNNNNNNNNNNNNNNNNNNNNNNNNNNNNNNNNNNNNNNNNNNNNNNNNNNNNNNNNNNNNNNNNNNNNNNNNNNNNNNNNNNNNNNNNNNNNNNNNNNNNNNNNNNNNNNNNNNNNNNNNNNNNNNNNNNNNNNNNNNNNNNNNNNNNNNNNNNNNNNNNNNNNNNNNNNNNNNNNNNNNNNNNNNNNNNNNNNNNNUAUAUAUAUAUAUAUAUGUUUUUAUUUUAUUUCAAUUCAUUAAUCAAAUUCCAUAAGAAAAAGUAGACAAAGUAAGGUUGUUCAACAAUCAAACGUAUAUUUUUUAAAAGACUUUUUAUGAUUAUGUUUUAUUACUUUUUUUUGCUAAAAAUUAAUUUAGUUUGUAGACAUGAAUGUUAUUGUUUGCGCCUGAAGUCCUUUGGUGAUUUUAGUUCAUAAUAUUAUUUUUAUUAUUUUUUGUUUUGUUGGUUAAUAUAUAACUAUGAAUUAUUUUUCAUAAAAUUUCAAAACUUUGUAACGGAGAAAAAUCCUGAUUACCCAUUGAGGAUCCAUAUUCCACACUGACCAUGGGUAAAGGGAUAUAUUUUUACCUAGAUGGGGAUGGGGUUGAGUAUAUGGAUGGGGACCGAGAUUCAAGUAUGAUGAUGGAGAACCAAAACCUGAUAUAUCUUCCUGUUGUCAUCCCUAAUUGUACACACGAACAUCUUUCAAUUUAGAUGUCCGGAGGACAAACACUAACCUUUUAAUAUUAUUUUAAUACAUUUAUUCACUUUGUAUAUUCAUUUAGUGUCAUUUUUAAUGCAAAAUAACUUAUAGUUGAGUAGUGGGUGGAAAUUUGAUAUAUUGAUAUAAACUGAAAGUUUAAGCUUUGAUACAAAACCAUAUAAAUAUGAAAUAGUUAUAAAGCUAAGGGAUAUCUUUUAUUGCCCAUUUUUUCACUGUCGUUAUAUUCUCAAGUUAUUUUUCAUUCGUUUUUUUUCAUCUUAUUAGUGAUAAAAAAUGAUUAUCNNNNNNNNNNNNNNNNNNNNNNNNNNNNNNNNNNNNNNNNNNNNNNNNNNNNNNNNNNNNNNNNNNNNNNNNNNNNNNNNNNNNNNNNNNNNNNNNNNNNNNNNNNNNNNNNNNNNNNNNNNNNNNNNNNNNNNNNNNNNNNNNNNNNNNNNNNNNNNNNNNNNNNNNNNNNNNNNNNNNNNNNNNNNNNNNNNNNNNNNNNNNNNNNNNNNNNNNNNNNNNNNNNNNNNNNNNNNNNNNNNNNNNNNNNNNNNNNNNNNNNNNNNNNNNNNNNNNNNNNNNNNNNNNNNNNNNNNNNNNNNNNNNNNAUGUGUGGACAUUGUUAUUCUGUGAGAAUAACUAAGAUAAUAAAUUAUUUAAUAAUGUGAAUACGUUCAACAUCACCCAACUAUCGUUAUUAUCACGCAUUUUCACUAAUUAUUAUUAAUUUUUGUUCUCACGUAUCACUUUUCAUUCAUUUUCAUUAUAACAGAAUACGAUUAUCAAUAACACAUUUUGACAACAUUUUCACAAAAUGAUAAUAAUAAUAAUAAUAAUAAUAAUAAUAAUAAUAAUAAUAAUAAGACUAUAAUACANACACACACACACAUACACACACACACACACACAUAUAUAUAUAUAUAUAUAUAUAUAUAUAUCACAAAGAUAACUAGCACCUCAACAAUAUAGUGAGAAGGCUCAACUCGCAAACGAUAAUCAACUACUACUGCUCCCACUGCCAAAAUACAAAUGCUAUACACCACUUAUACAUUCACACAAGGUAAACCCUUAGCCCUGCUUCCAAAACUACGAGUUACACCAAAACUCAACAGUCAAAGUCAAUGGUUAAAGCAAGCUCAAAGUUGCCAAUUAGCAGCCCUCCGUGUUGUGGCCUUCCUUGGCCAUGUCGUGGGCAUUAAAUUCCAAAAUAGUCGAUGAUUCCUUAGUCUCCACAUCGUGGCAGCCUUACACUACGUCGCGUGGACUUGUCUGAGUACCUCAAACGAGCUUAAUUCAUUUUCUUUCGAUUUCAAGAGCUCCAAAGCUCAUAUUUGGUCCUUUUCCAAGGUCUUAAUGGAUAAAGUUUCCAACUUUAUCCUUGAAGAUAUCCCUAUAUGUCUUGGUCUAGGUUCUAUGGUCCAAAAGUCAACUUAAUGCAUAGGACUUGGACCGUUAAGCCCUUAAGCCAAUGAAAUCCUCAAUCCAAAACUUUCAGAAGCAAUUUAGGGACCCUAAUGGAUCCUAAAAAUGUAAAAUUUAUGGACGUACAUACUCCAUGCAUGUCCUUUUCCAUGUUUAGUUCAAAAGAUGCAAUAUAACUUAAGCUUCAAGCAAAGUUCCCUAAUCACCACCAAUUCCUAGAUCUAUGACAUAUAAUGCUCUUAUGAUAUAGAGAGACGAUAGAGUUACAAACUUGGUCUUUUUAACCCACAUAAUUAUAUCAAAGGGAAGAUAAUAUGCCAUUAACGUAGAUCGAAGAAGAAUGAAAUGAAAAGAUGUAAACAUGAGGACUUACAAAGGACCUAGAGUAUGCAGACAAGUGAAAAUGUGGUUUUCUUGUUGAAUCAAGGCACUACCUUUUCUUCUUCUACCUUCAAAACCACCAAGAACUUGAAAAAAUGAGUACAAAAGCUUCUAAAAGGAUUAUGUUUUGCAAAGGAGAUGUUUAAAGGUGAUAAAGGAUGAUAAGCAACCCUAGUAUCAAGGUAAUGAGGUUUAAAUAAGGAAGAAGCCCUAAAACUCAUAGGCUUGGGCCGGAACAACUGCCAAAUCAUGGCCAACCUAAUGCCACAUCAUGGCGAUUAAUAAAAAAACAUGUUCAAUUUAUUUGAUGCCACGUCGUGUGUAUCCUUGCACCAUGAUAUGGCACAAAGUUUUUCCCAAAGCUCCAUCUAAAUAUAAGCUAAAAAAUGUGGAACACGGGCGUUACAACUCUCCCCCACUUAAACUAGAUGUCAUCCUCGAAAUCAUUCCAUAUAACUUAUUGUGCCACACCCGAUGACUCUGCCAUAACUUCCUGAAUACCAAUUAGGACUGAGAAGUUCUCUUGUGUAGAUGACCGCCUCCUAAUGCUGAUAUCAAAGCACUAGUGAUAGUAGAGAUCACAUAUCUAGAUGAACAAAAAUUGAACCUUAAUUCUCCACCCUUGACCAACUACGGAAAAAUCUAAUUUCUCUGCCUUAAAUUUGAAAAUUCUAAACCAUGUAUGACUUUUAGACAUAUAUGACCUUUCCAAAUUACACCAUAGUGACUCUAAAUUAUUUCCUGAACUGAUAAAAACCACUACAACACUGAAUUAUCGCAAUGAUACUGGAAAAUAGUAUCCAUGAUCAUUCACCAAUGUCGGCAACGUUGCAAUCAAAUAUAAGCACGAUUCCAAACACAAGACUCAACCAUUGAUGCCAAACAAACAUAAAAAUCACAUCCUGCAAAGCAAAAAUUCACAUUUUUCUUUCUAGCCAAUAUCUCCUUCGAACUGAACUGACCUACCAAUUAACUAAAGUAUCGAAUUUUUAAUUGGGUGCUGAAGCUAAUAAAUUCACACACGGUCGCACCACGAGAAUCCAACCAAGUGUCUAACUAGCCAAAUGUUAUCUUAGCCUGUUCACAAAUACGACUGCAAUCACUCUCCAAUCCCAAAAAGGACAACUUAACCAACCAUUUAUACGAAGAUAAACAGUCUAAAUGAAUAAUAGCCAGGGUGAUUCAUUCCAUAAAAAUGCUACCAUCCUAGCUGUAGUCUUACAUAACACCCAUCCCCAUGAUAGACUACGACUUUGCCAUCAUUCCAUCACUGGCCUGUAGAAUCCUAGCUAACACUUCAUGCCUUUAUUAUAAACUCAAACAUCAGAAUGAACUGCUCACCCAAGAUAAUAUAAUCAAAAGGGUCACUUCAUUAAUUGAGCUUAUACUAGUCUAACCAUCAAUACGACUCUAACUGUCCCUCCGUCUUAACACAGAGUGGCAGAAUAAUGAUAACAAACUUGCCUUAUCCCAAAGGAAGACUGUGAUACCCUCAUAGUCAUAGAACCAUUCCUGCGAUGGUCUAACUCUCCUUAUAUAAUUCUAUGUGAAAAGUCGUAGACUUACCACACUUCCACAUCCACCUACCAAUCUAGUGAAUGCGAUGGUUACCCACAGUCUUGCAACACUUCCAUAAUUGCCUACCAACCUAGUGAAUGUUACGACUACCUUGUAGUAUUACAACACUUCCAUUACUGCCUACUAACCUAGUGAAUGAUAUGACUACCCCCACAGUAUUACAAAACUUCCAUAACUGCCUACCAACCUAGUGAAUGAUACAGAUACCCUGCAAUCUUCCAACACGUCAACACCUACCUACCAACCUAUUGAAUGUUAUGGUUAAACGACAGUCUUACAACAACACAAUAACUUCCAAACAACCUAGUGAAUGCUAAGGCUACCCUGAAGUCCUACAAUACCUCCACAACUGCCUACAAACCUAGUGAAUGCUACAACUACCCAAUAGUCAUACAAUGCUUCCACAACUACCAUGGGCCCAGCCCAUGGCCUUUCCAACUACUUAUAAUAAUACUUUCCUAAAGAUCAUUACAAAGCAAAUCCCCCAUCCUACUAAACCCUAAUCAAGUAUUCGGGUCAUGCAUCUAACCUGAAAGCCUUUAUUAGACAAAAGCAUGCAGAGAGGUUCUAACACAACCCUCAACUUGGACCUAGCCACGGAUCUGUGAUGUGACCCUGCCACUACUUCAUGUCAUUAAAUGAGAUAAUCCUGACUCUUCAAAUUUUUCUUCCCCGAUUACAACUGAACACUGCCAUUAUCCCUUCCAUGAUACUUGACUCAUACCCCAACCUAACUGGCUACUCACCCACCCUUAGUUAUUAUAUUCCAAGUUAACUCGCACUUGGAAAGUAUUUCUGUUAAUCCAAAUGAUUCUCACCCACUUGGAUUUAACUACAUUUUGCCAACCUCAUGACCAAUGGUUUUCCAACCCAUCUUACAACCUUUCAAUUCCACCACUACAAUCUUCACCUUACAAGGACUAUGAUUCUAGUACCAAAUAAGUUAGGGUACCCACACACCAUACCAUAUUACAAACUUCACUACUCCUGAAGGAUGAUCUUUGCAUCCAAAUCACUUUCCCUUGAUACAAUUUCAAACCUUGAACAACGUCAACUGAUGGCAAGAAUGACUGAUCCAUUAUCGGAAUAGGUGGAUAACCAAUCUAACAACUCACUUGCUGAAGAUCGAUGCACCUAAAACAUCGUCAACUGAUGUAAUUCGAACACUCUUGAACAAUCCCAACAGCUAAAUGAAUUCAUGCAAAUUUGCGUUACCCACAACGAGAAGUUGAUGAAUCAUAACCACUCCUACCUACUAGAAAUAAUAAUCGAUCCAACGAGGUAACCAUCCCUACAACUGAUAUCCAGCCUAAGCAGCAUAAGCACCUCUAAACUAUAUCUUUGUUCUCUCAGCAGGGACAACCGGCUACGACAAGGUCUUUUCCUAGAAGCUUCCGACGCGAGGAUUACACACACGUCCCUGAAAGCGUGAAUCUGAUAGCAAGUCACCCUACACUCACGUUCUGAAAAAUACCUUAUACCUUACAACCAUGAAGAAUCUUUAUAAUCUUGAAUACUAAAAAUAUGGUAGACUUAUACUUCAACUUUCUUGAACCACCAAAAUCAAUCUGACAGUUGAUCCUUCCAUGCAAAACGCUCAGUUUUCCCUCACUUAGGACUUAUUCUAUCAAUGGCCGACGUCUCCCUCGUCAAAGUAUGGAAUUGAUUCAUCCAAAUACCCUCUAAACAUGACUCUCGGUAUGCAAAAAUGGCAUAAGAUAAUCCCUCAAAUUAUAAUAACCAUACAAUCAUAAAGAAAUCCUGAAAAAAGGUUGAGGCUUAAACAUCUCGAACAUUAUGUUUCUUACACAUAAUCACAAAAUCAUGAGUAAUAAAACCAAGAAGGAAACAAUACAUUAUGUACCAGAAAACAACAUCACGCAGAACUCAGGUCCCCUUAACUAUCAACUAAAAUGCUUAGCUCCUCAUCAUCAAAGCCUCGAUUUUGCCCUCGUUGUCAUCAGUGAUUCUCAAUGUGGCUAGAGAGGAUGCGCACGCCGCUCCACCUGCCAAUACCGAAUAAUCACCUUCUUGUGUGCCACCUUUUUUCGGGGAAAGCAAAUCAACCUUUAUCCCUUAGAACACUCCCUACCGAAAUGAUUAAGUUGGUUGAAACUGAAGUAGCCUAUUCCCUUCUCACGAUAGUUCCCCUCUUGAGACCUCACAUACUUGGCACCAUAGCUUGGACCUUGUUGGACUCUUUCUCAUCUAUCUAUCAUCAAGGGCUUCUUGUUGAUCCCUACGCUGACACAUAUUACGGACCCGAUGAAGAGCUCUCCCUAAAAUAGGUCAUGAACUCUUCCCAUGAUAUUGUCUCCAACUCGGUAAACAUAAUUUUUGGAUUAGUGUCGAAGCCCAUAACUAUAUUUGGUAUGCACUUUACCCGAUUGUAGCAUGGCCCUUUUGGGAUGCCUUCAACGGAGCAGCUUGACUGGAUGAAUAAUGGAAAAAGAGGAUAAAUUUGGUUUAUUAACAUAUUAUGUGAAUAAUAUAUUAAAAGAGAAAUCAUAUUAGUUAAUUAAUAUUGGUCAAAAAUUAAUUGAGAAUUAAUUUUAUGGUCAAAAGAUAUUAAUUGAACUAAGGGGACUGGAAUUGCAAUUAUAAGAUAAUUAGAUUUUGGGUUGUAGAUCCCUUAGAGGAAGGGGUGGACGAAAUCUACGUGGAAGGCCACCGUGAAUUCUUCCAACGCCGUAUUCUGGAAGGAUAUUUGGACUGCUUGAUGGCUAAGCAACCUAAUUAGGGUUUUGACCUGAAACCCUAGCAGCUCGCCUAUAUAAGGACCCCUUGGGAUAGGGAAAUCGGCCACUUGAAACCUUAGAAGAGUUCUAGCCGAUUUUGAGCCCCUUCCUGUCUCCUUAAGUUCAUCCAAUUUGCUUUGGUGUUUGUGAUCUAUUAGAGGCACAAUAUUUGGGGUGCAAAAGUUCUCAAAAGCUCAAGAUCUUCAAGCAACAAUUGAAAGGUAACUUUCUAACUUGUUUGCUAGAUGUUAUUUUAGUUUUUGUUGUAUGUUAGAUUAGGGUUUGUAAGUCUUGGACAAUAUUGCAUGUACAAUUAGAAAAACUAGAUACAAGCAUUAGGGUUUGCAUGAACACCAAAGGAAUGUUGUUUUGCUCAUAACCAAACAAUGUGUAUCAGAGCGUAGAUCGUUUCUCUUUCAUAUUUGAUGCAAUGGUAACUUGUUCAAGCUCACAAGUCGAAAAAUUUAGCCUCUGACUGAUGGAUUCGUCGAGUCACCUGAAGAACUCGGCGAGUCAGCGCUACUCAGCGAGUCCAGUUCUACGUCUCGGCGAGUCGGCUCGUCUGGUUGCUGACUUUUCAGGAUUUUGACCAAAAUUGAAUUUUGAUAGUUGCCAAAAGUGUUUUUGACAGAUAAAAUUCGAUUGUUUCAAUAAGGUAUUGAUUAUCCUAAAUCAAUUGAAGGAUAAUUGUCAUAAAUAAUAUAAUUACUUGUUUUAUAAGAUAAAUUUAAUUAUUUGUACUUUUUAUUUGAAUUAUCUUGUCAAGAAAAUAGAUUAGGUCAAAUUUAGAUAAUCACUAAUUAUAUGAUUAAUUAAAUUAUUUGUAAUUUGAUCCAUUAUGAUUUGAAAGGUUUCAAAACUUGCCCUCAAGUUUUGGAAUUUGAAUUUCUGAUUAAAAGUUUUAAUUUUGAAACAUUUAAAUUCUAAACCCUAGAAUUUUACAAGUUUAACAUUCAACCCUUAUAUUAUUAUAGUAUUAUAAGAUUAAUAAUGUAUAUAUGUAUACGAUUAAGCUAGUCUUACCAUUAGUAGGCCUCAUUCACGAAGCCGAUCUAUAAGGGGGGUAUAAGGUUGCUGCCUAUAAAAUGACAGUUUAAUGGGUGUCCACUCUCACCCACCGCUUCUUUGAUUGGUGGAGGGUCGUUAGCUGAAUAGGUAGGAUAGAGCAAACUAAUUCCUCAUUAAUAAGUAUAAUGAAUGUAUAAAGUAACUAAAUGUUUUAUAAAAUUCCCAAUCCUAGUUACUUUAGGAAAAAUGUGAAAUGAUGCUGUUACAUGAAAUUACACUUUGCAUCCUUGCCAAGUUGUUAGUGGAGCAUGUGUGGUUAACCGGCACACUAAUUUAGGACUAGAAAAGGUGGAAAAUGGUGACUCGAUGUUUACCAUAGAUCAAUGAAGAGUGUGUGGCUAACCAACAAAUUGGUUAGGUGGUAAAUGACAUCGAGGGUACCAACUAAUUUGCAUGGUUAUUCACACCUUGUUUGUGAUCCUCAGUACCUCAGUCACAAACUUGAAGGGUAUAUCGAGAUUUGAACAUACCAUUGAAAAUUUCAAUGAAUCUCAAAAGAUCUAGGAGUUUCAACACAUUUGAAACUUAAUUGCCUUUUCAUUUUUCAUGGUGGAAAUUAGUGAAUCGUCAUUCACUUAACUUCAAAUUGUUUUCAUUUUAGACUACGGCAUCCAUCUUCUAAAUUGUAAAUAAUGUUGUUGGAUCCUUGCCCUAGUUUUUCAUUUGGGUGUUAAAUUAGAGAUUCUUAUCUAAUCUAAACUUUGUCUCUUUUCUUUUUCAGAUGUCGACUGCUAACAUUGCUUGUAGCUCCUUUUCCCUUUUGAUUUUAUGUGGGAAGGUGAUCUUCAAUGGUUCGAACUUCAACGAAUGGAUCUGAAAAAUUCUUAUGAUCAACCACUACGAGGACAAGAAAUAUCUUCUCGAUGAAGAGCUGAAGGAACUAAAUAAGCCAACUGCUACUCCUGAGGAAAUCACUAGGUUUCGAGUACACAAAAAGGACGUGACAAAGGUAUUGUGUAUCAUGGUCGCAACUAUGACUACCGAACUCCGAAAGUCCUACGAGGACUACUAACCCUAUAAAAUGCAUCAAGUCUUGAUGGAAAGGUACCAUAAAACUGCUAGUCAAGAUAGGUACAAGAUCAUCGUUGUGAUGAUCACUACCAAGAUGAAAGAUGGAGAGUCCAUCAUGUCCCAUUUGUUGAAAAUGUAGAAAUUUGUGGACCGUUUACUGAAGUUGAAUGUAAACUUCGAUGAAGAUCUGGCCAUUGACAUCAUCCUUCACUCAUUGCCUCUUUAUUACUACUAGUUUUGUACGAACUAUCAUAUAAACAAGGAGGAGGUCACUCUUAGCAAACAUCAAGGCCUCUUGUGCACUGCUGAGGGCUGUUUGAAAGACAAGUCUGUUGCAUCAACUCCUACCGCUGUUGCCCCUGUCUUGGCUAUUAGGCAAGGAAAAGGAAAGAAGAGGAAGGCUCCUUCCAAGAGCCACAACGGAAAGUCUCACGAUGGAUCCUUCUCUAGUGUGACCAAGGCUGUUUUUGCUGCUCCUUCUUCAAACCGAAAGGAUACAGAGUGCUUCUACUGCCAUGAGAAAUGACAUUGGAAACGAUGCUACCCGAAGUACCUACAAGAUAUCAAGGAUGGAAAGAUAAAGUUGUACUUCGUAGGUAUUUAUACUAUUCAUUCUAAGAACUCAUCACAUGAUAUAUCUUGGGUCCCCGAUACAGGAUGUGGUUUUCACAUUUGUUCUGAUUUGUAGGGUCUAAGAAGAAGUAGGGAUGUGGAGCAUGUGAAGAUAAACUUGAUCAUGGGGAAUAGGAAAGUGUCGCCUGUCACCAAGAUUGGAGUUUACUCUUUAGUGCUUAGUAGUGGGUUAGGUUUAGACUUGAUUCUUCUAAUGGUGUGGAUAAGGUAUGCUUGUGGCAUUGUCGUUUUGGACAGGUCAACAAGAAGCGCAUAGCCCAACUCCAAAAGGAUGGAGUGUUGGAGUCAUUCGACCUUAAAGACGAUGACACGUGCAAAUGUUGUUUACUUGGAGAGACGACCAAGUCACCCUUCACUGGUACUUGUGAAAGGGGUGAGGGUUUAUUGAAUCUCAUACACAUCGAUGUAUGUGGGCCCUUUAGAUCAACCACAAGGGAUGCGAAACGCUUCUACAUGACUUUUACCAAAGAUUAUAGUAGAUAUGUGUAUAUUUACUUAAUCAAGCACAAUUCAAAAACUUUUUAAAAGUUCAAAGGGUUUAAGCAAGACGUGGAUAAUCAGUUGGGCAGGAAAAUUAAUAUGCUUUGAUCCGAUCGUGGUAGUGAGUACCUUAGUCUUGACUUCCAUGACUACCUCAAGGAGUGCGGAAUAGUUUCGCAAUUGACGCCACCUAGGACACCACAGUUGAAUGGUGUGGCUGGGAGGCACAAUCGAACCUUAUUUGACAUGGUUCGUUCCAUGAUGAUUCGGCUUUGCUACCUAUCUCAUUCUGGGGGUAUGCCUUAGAGACUGUCGCCCAUAUCCUUAAUCUAGUCUCGACUAAUAAGGUGGCCAAAACACCUCACAAAAUGUGGACAUGGAAAGCUCCCUCAUUGUCACAUAUAAAGGUUUGGGGUUGUGAGGCUUUCGUAAGACGAGAGACUCACGACAAGCUCGAGCCUCCUAGAGAGCAGUGUAUUUUCAUUAGCUACCCACAGAAGUCCUUUGGAUAUCUCUUCUAUAGACUGAGUGACAAUGUUGUCUUUGUUGUGAUGAGAGAGGUUUUCUGAGAGCGAGAACUCAUAUGCCAAGAGGACAGUGGGUGGAAAAUUGAUCUUGAAGAGCUUCAAGAAUCAAACGAUGAAGGAACCUCUAACGCUGGAGCUUAACCUAUGGAUGAAACCCCUGUUGAACCGAUUGACGAGUCCCUACCUCUUAGACGUUCUAAUAGAGUUAUUGUUCCAUCCGUGUUGUAUGGUUUUCAAAUAACAAGUGAGGGUAAUACGUUUAUUAGUUGUAGUACACUAAUAAAUUUAGAUGAACCUAACAACUGCAAGGAAGCCAUGGCUGGCCUGGAAUCUACAAAGUGGAAAGAGGCUAUCGACAACGAGAUUCAGUCCAUGUAUGGCAAUCAAGUUUGGAACUUGGUUGACAAUGUACCGGGUCGUAAGACGGUCAUGUGAAAAUGGAUCUUCAAAAAGAAAACCGACAUGGAUGGGAAAGUACAAACUUAUAAGGUGCGAUUGGUUGCGCAUGGCUUUAAUCAAACUCCCAGAGUUGACUAUGACGAGACCUUCUCACCAGUAGCGAAGAUGAAGUCUAUAAGGGUUAUGCUAGCCAUAGUUGUGUUUCAUGAGUAUGAAAUAUGGCAGAUGGAUGUCAAAACCACCUUCAUCAAUGGAAAGUUGGCUGAGGAUGUUUACAAGAGUUAUCCAUAGGGUUUUGUCUAUGCAAAGUACCAAAAUAGAGUGUGUAAGCUUGAGAACUCCAUUUAUGGAUUGAAACAAGCAUCUCACAGAUGCAAUCUUUGUUUUGAUGAGAAAGUCAAAGAGUUUGAUUUUUCAAGAUGAGAAGAUGAGUCCUGUGUAUAUGUCAAAGUCAGUAGGAGUAUAAUUAGUUUUCUCAUUUUGUAUGUGGAUGACAUAAUACUCAUAGGAAACGACGCCCCAACUCUGCAGGAGGUUAAGUCUUGGCUUGGGAAGUGCUUCUCUAUGAAGGACCUCGGAGAAGCUGCUUAUAUUCUUAGGAUAAGGAUAGUGAGAAAUAGGAGUAAAAGACUAAUAGGACAUAGUCAAAGUACUUACUUGGAUAAAGUGUUGAAACGUUUUAGCAUGGAAAAUUCCAAGAAGGAGGAGUUACCGAUCCAAAUAAAUACCAAGUUGAGUAAGACUCAAAGCCCGAGUAUCGAAGCUGAGAUAGCAAAAAUGAGUCGAGUACCUUAGGCUUCCGUAGUUGGCUCGAUCAUGUAUGUUAUGACAUGUACUCACCCUGAUGUGGCCAUCACUUUAAGCAUGGUCAGCAGAUAUUAAGGGAACCCUAUUAGAGCACAUUGGACCGCAAUCAAGAACAUUCUUAAGUACCUGCAAAGGACUAAGGAAUGGUUCCUUAUCCUUGGUGGGAGUGAUGACUUGAUAGUGCGAGGGUAUAGUGACGCCAGUUUUCAGAACGACCGAGACAACUACCGCUCUCAGUCGGGCUGGGUCUUUACCCUGAAUGGAGGAGCAGUAACUUUGAAAAGUUCCAAGCAAGAGACCAUAGCUAAUUCAACGUGUGAAUCAUAGUACAUAGCAGCGAGUGAAGCGUCGAAUGAGGCAAUAUGGUUGAAGAACUUCAUCAGAGACCUUGGAGGUGUACCAACCAUAAAGGAGCCUAUGGAUAUUUUAUGCUAUAACGAAGGUGCAGUGGCCUUAACCAAGGAAUCGAGGGAUCAUGGCAAAUUCAAACAUAUUGACAGAAAGUAUCACUUCAUCAUACAUCGGGUAGAAGAGGGACUCCUCGUAGUAAAGAGGGUAUCGUCAGAGGAUAACCCAGCAGAUCCUCUUAUGAAGGGACUGAGUAUGGUUAAGCACUUGCAGCACGCUAGGAGCAUUGGGCUGAAGGACGAUAUUAGUUUUAGCGAUUAGAUAGAUUUAAGAAACUUGUAAUAGAUAAAUUGUAGUUGACAUUUUGAUGAUUAAAUAAAGGUGUUUUAUUUAAAAGUAAUGUUACUAUCUUGUGUCAAUUAUUUACUAUUGUUUGACUUUGGAUGUUUUGACUUCCCAAAUAAUAAGAUUAUUUAAACUAUUCACAAUCGAUCAUACGUUGGAAGUAAAUUUGAAUGAAGACUGUCAUGAAUAGUUUUGUGGAUUGUCUAAGUGUUUAGACAUAGAAAAGGAUUGUUGCAACAUUCAUGAGUGCUCACAAAAUAAGAUUUAAGUAUUUGAUUAAACCUGCGCUCACAUAAAUCACUUCAUGGAAUCUAAUCACGAGUGAUUGUGAGACGAUAGUAUCAUUUAGUCUUUAAACCUAGAUAUAUGAGUUGUAAUUUACAAGUUGGUUGUGCAUUGAUAACGCGUAAAUGCAUCAGUAACUUGAGGUUAUAAAACAUGUUGUUGUGUACGAUUUGAUGAGUAAAUAGUACAAGCAUAUAUGUCGAAGUUUAAAUGUUCCUUUUAUCCUAUGAGUCUAAAAGUGAUAUCUUUGGCCACUCGAUGAUUUGCUUUGACUUAUGUGUCGGGCCUAGUCAGGACUAAAUUGAAGUGUUCAAUUAUGUUCUAUGUCAAACAUAUCAUAGAUCUAGAAACAAAAUCCUGGACAAUAAGUAUGACUAUGUUCCAUGUAAUUGUCCGCACGAUAUCUUGAGAACGGAGGACUAUACGAUCCCUAAUGUUAAGGACAUGUCAAAGUUCGACAGCAGCUUUUGAGAGCUAUGAUUGCUAACCAAAUUUUGAAGUCGUACUUGCAUUUAUAGUUAUUAGACUUAUCCAAGUGGGAGACUGUCGGAUUAGUGUCUAAGUCCAUAACUAUAUUUGGUAUGUACUUGAACCAAUUGUAGCAUGGUCCUUUUGGGUUUCCUUCACCUAAGCAACUUGAAUGGAUGAAUAAUGGAGAAAGAGGAUAAAUGUUUUUUAUUAAUAUAUUAUGUGAAUAAUAUAUUAAAAGAGAAUUCAUGGUAGUUUAUUAAUAUCGGUCAAGAAUUAAUUUUGUGGUCAAAAGAUAUUAAUUGAACUAAGGGGAUUGGAAUUGCAAUUAUAAGUUAAUUUGAUUUUAGGCUAUAGAUCCCAUAGAAUAAGGGGUGGACGAAAUCUAGGUGGAAGCCCACCUUGAGUUUGUCCAAGGCCUUAUUCUGGAAGGAUCUUUGGACUGCUUGAUGGCUAAGCAAUAAUUAGGUUUUUGACUUGAAACCCUAGCAGCUUGCCUAUAUAAGGACCCUUUGGGAUAGGGAAAUCAGCCACUUAAAACUCUAGAAUAGUUCCAGCAGAUUUUGAGCCCCUUCCAUCUCUCCAAUUUCAUCCAAUUUGUUUUGGUGUUUCUGAUCGAUUAGAGGCACAACAUUUGGGGUGCUAAAGUUCUCAAAAGCUCAAGAUCUUCAAGCAACAAUCAAAGGGAACUAUCUAACUUGUUUAUUAGAUGUUAUUUUAUUUUUUGUUGUAUUCUAGAUUAGGGUUUGCAAGUCUUGGACAAUAUUGCAUGUACAAUUAGAAAAACUAGAUCCAAGCAUUAGGGUUUGCAUAAACACCAUAGGAAUGUUGUUUUGCUCAUAACCCAACAGUAAUACAUUACGCAAUCAAAUUCCAACAACUCUUUGUUGUAAGAAGCAAAAGGUCCAAAACAAACUAAACCUUGGCUUUUAUGGGAUAUGGACUGGUGUGAAAGAUACCCUCCAUCUCCUAAAUCCAUCAUGAACUUAGAACUCCGGUAUUCCUCCGACAAGCCAUAGAAGAAAGAUAGUUAGCUAUGUCGGCGGGUAACAUGAUGAACUCAUAUAUCCUCUAAUCAAUCGACUCAACACUAGAGCCUGAACAAGAACUAGAACCAGAACCUCCUCCAUGAGUGCUCAUCAACAUACUGAAAAAAUCCAACAAUGGAUCAGAACAUAUCCAAAGAAUCCUCAUUCAACACGAUUCCUAGAAUCUUUCUAGCAUUCCUUGAUCUGAGUACGGAUAUUGUGCUUCUAGUAGUAUGGGCCUAAUACUACCCUCUAUACAUAUCCAUACUUUCCUCAAGAAUCAUGCUUGAUCCACUAAGUCACCUUUUCAAACUGGAUUCCGAAAACCCGCGAAAUAGCGCACCAUUCCUACUAAAGCAUUUCAUAGGCUCUCCAAGGAUCCCCCACUUCACCCUGCCAUUAGUUGUUGAAGAACUCCUACCUAUUUUAGCUAACUGCUUCAUGAAUACAACUUGAUGCAAUAAAACAUAAAUAAUCUUUAGACUAAAAGACCCAACCCUACAACAUUUAGACUCAGACCAGAGUUACACAAUAUGGACGAAUCUAUCAUUCUAGAAUUAUUUAACCUUUGUGGCAUGUAACUAAAUAUAUUCAGUUAAUAGUUAUGUUACAUCAAUAAGAGUCCAACAAAGCACAUAGUAAGCAACGUUCAUGCAGUAACACUCAAAAUCCACAUAACAACCAAAGGACAUCCCGAACUCACUGGUUGUUAUGCUGCUCAGAACUUCCACUAACAUUUGCGGUUACCUAUUGCAUUCAAAUUAUACACUUAGCAAUAAAUUCCAUUAAUAAACGUUCCAAAUAAACAUAGCAUCCAAUUAAUCCUAGGCUACAAGGCAUCACAAGUCAGUCUAUUCUAUCAUGUAAUCCUAAGUAUAUCCUUAUGCUAACUCCUAUCAUGCAAAACGUAUAACAUAACAUGUAUGGUUAUUUUAGGAAUCACUUACUUGAGCUCAAGUAAUUGCGUAUAUCACACCCCUUUAUUUAUAAAAAUAUUUUUAGAGAAACUCAUUUCCUUUUUUAAAAAGAUUACCAAUUUCUUAGUUUGAGUUCUGAAACACUUGAGGUUGCGCCUGAAUCCCUCAAACCAAGGGUAUGAUACCAGCAUGUAGCUUCCCAAAAAUAAUAGCAAAGUUUUUUUAUUUUUAAAUCCAUAAAUACAAAAAAACAUUUUUUCCAAAACCAAUCAAAGUAAAUUGUAUUUCUCAAACACCAAAAUAAAACAUAAAUAAUUGGUGUGGAAAAGCCAUCGGGGGAUGAUGUGCAGUCAACCCGGGCCCUUCCCUUUAAAACUAGUAGUACCUGAAAAAUCUCCAACCAUAAACUUUAAGCAAAAAGAGCCGUGAGCUUCCCCAAAUACCACAUACAACAUAUACAAUUGCCAUAGGCUACCCACAUGGUCUUUUUCUUGAAAUAAUAUGGGCUACCCCUAUGGUCUUUUUCUUGAAAUAAUAUGGGCUACCCCUAUGGUCUUAAAACCAAGUGUCAUGGGCUACCCCCAUGGUCUUUCGUUGAAAUUCCAUGAGCCACCCCCAUGGUCUAAAAUCCAAGUGUAAUGGGCUACCCACAAGUUCUAUCAUGCAGUUUCCAUGGGCAACCUCCAUGGUCUUUCAUACAAAUACGACGGGCUACCCACCGGGUCUUUAAUGCAAGUAUCACGAAGACCACUAGCACCUACACAUUAUAGUGAGAAGGCACACCUCGCGGAUAAUAAUCAAUUCCUACUGCUCUCAUUUCUGAAAAUACAGAUGUUAUACACCACCUAUACAGCCACACAAGGUAAACCCUUAGCCCUCCUUCCAAAACUAGGAGUUUGACCAAAAGUCAACUCAAGUCAAAAAUCAACGGUCAUAGUCAAUUGUCAAAUCGAGGUCAAAGUUGCCAAUUAGUAGCCCUCCAUGUCGUGGGUAAUAAAUACCAAAAAAAGUGUAUGAUUCCCCAGUCUCCACAUCAUGACAGCCUAAGGCCACGUCGUGGGGACUAAUCUAUAUAGCUUAAAUGAGCUUAAUCCAUUUUGUUUUGAUUUCAAGAGCUCUAAAGCUUAGACCUAGUCCAUUCCAUGGUUUUAAUGGAUAAAGUUUCCUAUUCUAUCCCUGAAGAUGUAAGUCCCUAAAAUUGCUUGUGUAUCAAUCAGAUCCAAUUGAUGGUACGGAAUCCCAAUCAAUUGGAUGAUGUCAGAUCAAUAUAGAAGACAAGGAGAAGAAGAAUAACUUGAAUCUAAUGUAUUGAUAAUAUGAUUGAUGCUCCUUACAAUAGAUUCUCUCACACACACUAUUCUUCUCUCUAACUUGCUCUCUCUUCUCUAGCCUUACACUCCCACAUGCACUCCUCUAUUUAUAGCACUCCUAGCAGUACACGAGUGUACAACUGCAAACGCGUGUACGCCCAUACACAGGGUGUGCGGCCGCACACACAUGUGCAGCCGUACACAGCCACAAAAAUACAUAUUACAUUAUAGAAAAAUAUAUUUUCCUAGAAUAGCAAAGUAUAAACCAUAUUUUUUGACCCAAUAAUCUCCCCCUUGGUUUAUAGCUUUCUUUUCUAAUUGACCGAACAAACUCCUCCAAAAAUGUAGAUGGCUCUUCUUGUCAAUCUUCAAUGGGAGCUUGGCUUCAGCGUUUAUCUUUGAUUUCUUCACAGCAUCAGGAUGAACAUAUGAAUCUUCCAUGAAUGACUUCACAAUGACCAGUUGGGCAUUUCUUCAAAAUUUGACUCUGAACGCACAUUGGGUGAGGAGGCUUAAUGAAAAGAUUCUUGAAAGAUAGCACUUUCAGCUUGAGAAUCUUUAGAGAGAAAAACGGAGAUAAAUAAUCUCCUAGAUCACUUCAGCAGGUUUAUAUAUAGCAGCAGAUUGAUUGAGGAGGCUACAAUGCAAUUUUUCAUAUAAUCUUCAAGCACAACUUGACCUUGCUUCUGGGGUUAAAGGAUUGAUUGUCGAAAGAAUAAUCUUCAUUUCUUGCUCCUUCGAAUGAGAAUUCUUCGAUGAUCACGGAUGAAGCUUUGGCUCAAAAAUCUCAAUACAGUCUCCACGAGUCUUAUCUAUGCCUGAAAUCACUUUUCAAGACAAAACAAAACUAAAAAAAAUUAGCACACAAAAAAUAUAUUUGGAUUUUUGAUAUUCUUUGAAAAAAAUAAAACAGAAAUAACAAUAUUUUUUUUAUUUUUGUUUGAUUUUUGAUUUUUUUUGUUUUAUUUUUUUUAUUUUUUAUAAUUCUCCCCCUAAAUUUGUGCAUAGAGGAAAACUAUGAACAAAUUUAAAAAAUAAAAUAAAAUGAUAUCUAACUUUAAGAAUGAUUUGUGAUCAAGGUUUUUAGACAGCCUUUAUCCGCUUGUCGGUACCUUUUAUAUUCACAUCUUUGUCUGGUCGAUCGCCGGUAUUGUUGUCCACUUAAACACAAAAAAUUGUGACAAAAUUAGGACAUACUAUAAGUAAUAAGACAAUGUGAUCCUAAGUUCCUAGAUAUUAUAUCUGAUCCUAAGUUUCUAGAUACUAUAUCUUAAGGACCAUUCAGCUGACGACGACCAGGGAUAUUGUUGGCCAUCUAAAUUGAGCAGCGAGAUCUAUAGACAAUCUUUAAGUGUUCAAUUUUCAUUGUACUGGAACAUGUUUCCCGCUUCCUAAUAUGCCCCAGUAAUCAAAGACUUCCAAAGUACUCCUUACAUCGGUUGAGCAGACAAUCAUUAGGAGAGAUAGAUUCAGAUUAUUAUCACUUAUAGUUUUAGAGGGAUUGAGAAGUAGAAGGUUGCAUAUGCUGUGUACCAGGUUGGAUUGUUAUUCACGCAAAGGAGACAACAUAUGGCUAACAAAUAAGAAGAAUUUCAUAGAUAUAAUAUGCAGAGAAAUAGAGUUGCAUAUGUUACAGUCCAGGUCGAAUUUUGAGUCACGCAGAGGAAGUAAUCAUAUGACUAACACACAGAUAGAAAGAGAAAACAAUUUUCUACAUACCUAAUUCAUCGGAAUUUACCAGUUGCCCCAUCAAUACCGGAAUUAAGGACAUAAUCCGCACAUCGAGGAAAAGUUAAACCACGGUUCCAGAUACAUGUUCGUUUAAUCUGACGAGUAGAUUCUCAUAUAUAUCUCCCUGCUCAAUCUAUCUAAGUGUCAUAUUGUCAGGCUAAACGGAUCUAACUAGGUUAAGAUUUUUCAAGUCUACACAUUUCCUGAGUUCAACUCUGCCUAGUCAUGUCCAUUUAGAAUCUUUCGUGCCUACUGACGCAUCAAACUAGAGAUAGACCCUUCAACUUUGGGUACGUUACGCAGACUUAGAUUGCCUGUUAUCACUUGAUAAUAUCACUUCCCAAAACAUCUCCCUCAAGCACAUUUCAUAACCAACAUAUUUUUUUUUGAUUUUCUGAUUUUGUAAUGUUUUUGGAUUUUUUAAAAUUUUAAAAAUUUUGUUUUGGUUUUAUUUCUCCCCCUAAAUUUGUGCAUAUAAGAGAAAUGAAAGUAAAUGCGCAAAUUUAAACUAUCCUAAAUAAAAAAAAUUAGUCUUUAAAGCGAAUCAGCUUAAGAAAAACUCAGGAGUAUAGAGAAGAAAACUCAAACCGUAAGUCACCAAUUGAAUUUACAUCUAGAAGGUCUGAGAACAGCACGCAUAAUCUCAUAACAGAUCCGAAAAUUCUUCAUGUUAUUAAGCACAGACCCCAUGUGAUCCCUUCCUUUCUUCCCUUCCCACAAAGGACACAUACUCUCAAACAAAGUUCUGAGUGUUGUACAUUUGAGAGAUGUCCCCUAUCAUGUGCCAAGAGCAGCCAUUAUCAACAAACCAAAGUCUGAUGAUAUGCCUCCAUAGCUACUCCGACACAGAGCGGGAUCAGUUGGUCUUUGGAACCCAGUCCAUUUUGAAACUGGGUCGACCUUUGUCAUCUUUGCAAGGAACAUUCUCCCACGACAUGUCCUGUUUGUCACAAACAGAAGAUGUUGAAAUAUUAUAAUCAUUAGAAGAUUUGGGAGAAUGGACCUUCAAAACCCAUUUGUAGUUAAGUUUAAGCCAUUUCUUUUUUGUUCUGAUGGGUGGCUCAGUACUUUCUUUCGAUCUUGAUGUUGGCCAUUGAGAUGACUUUCAUUUUGGCUUCACAGAAACAUCUCUUGGAUUUGGCUUCUUUGCCGACAUUCCCUUCUUGCCCUUGGGAUUUGGAUUCUUGGCGUUGUGGGUUUGAUUCUUGGCCUUAUGCACGUUCCAGUCACCAUUGUCUGAACGUGACCUGGAAGGGUUUCUUUUGGAGUAUCUCCCUCUUGGCGCGUUCUGCGACCCUUGUGCAUAGUAGGGAACGUAUGCGCGAUUUGGACAGUUUCGGGCAAUAUGUCCAAGUGUUCCACAGUGAAAACAAGACUUUUUCUUGACUGUGAAGUUGUUUCUUCCUGCCCCUGGUGGCGUAUCCUUGCCUUGUCUUUGGCUUUUCCCACACGCAUAGUUGCAACAGGCACUCUGUUUAGCUUGAAAUGGUGGCAUGUAUUUACCAACAGCAGGUUGAUUAGAAACAAUAGAUUCAGAGUUCAAGGGGUCGUUUGUUUGUUCAGUGGAACUCUCCUUGUUCUCAUCCUCUAUUACUUUGCCUACACAAGAAGUAGAAGUAGUAGUAUCAGCUCAACACCCUCAGUUGCCUAUUCAACAGCUGGUUAACCGUAUACCAUAAAUGGUUCUCGGUUAAUCUCUUCAUGAGUCAAAGGUUUUGCAGUACAAUUAUGAUUGAAAGGAGGAGGGACACUCUCAAAACCUAGUCCUACUUUCUUUUUGGUUUCCACAAGUGACAUCCUUGCACUGCAUUUGGUUUUCUAUUAUUUUCGCAACCACUUCGCUUGACCCAUCAAAUUUUUUAAAAUUGAAUUCAGCAUUUUUAAAACAUGUUUUCAAUAAGUCAAGUUCAGCGGUCACAGCUUUAAAUUUUUGUUUGAUAUGGUCAUAGUUCUCACAUUUGUUGCUGUAAUCCUCUUGUAAUUUCCUAAAUUCCUUGAUUUUAUUUUCUAGUUGAGUCUUUAAGGGAUUUUGGUUUUUCCUAAGUGUGUAUCCCUCAUAUUUUAAGUCCUCGUUCUCUCUCUUGAUUCAAUCUAUUGAUUCUCACAAAAAUUUCAUAGUUUUAGCACAAGAUGGAGAGCAACCGGAUUCAUUUACCUAAAUUGAUGUGGAACUCAUUUUUUUAAUUAAUUCUUUUUUUUUUAUUUUUUUUAAUUGCCCUUUGACUUAAAAAUAAAACGAGAAAGUCAACCUUAAAAUUCAAAUUUAAAAAAAUCAAAUUUAAAAGUCAAACUCAAAAAGUCAAACUUCAAAGUCAAACCGAAAAGCUAAAUUUAAAAAUUUGAAAGUUAAAUGAAAAAGUCAAAGGUCAAACUUGAAAAUCAAAAGUCAAAUUUUUUAAAGUUAAAAGAUAAAAAUAAAAUCAAAAAAUUAACAACUAAAAAUUUGGGUUGAAAAUGAAAUUUAGAAAUAAAAAGAAAUUGAUUUUAGGGUUAAAAGUGUCAAAAAUGAAAAAAUUGGGUCGAAAUGAAGUGGUUUUAAAUUAAUUUUGGAAACGAAAAAUCAUCCAGCAUCCUAGCUAAGCUGGAAAACGCGUUGGGGUGAUGAAGCUAACCAUCCGGGUUCGAUUCUUGCAAGCCUUGAUUUCCUUUUGAUUAUUUUCUGCUAGCUGAGAAGAGCUUUAACUUAAAAGGAACGACAUGUUUAACAAGUUCCUUGGAACAUCAAUUGGUAAGAGGUGUGUUUGAUGACUUAGAAGUCUUGAGUUUGAAUCUUGGAAGCCUCAAAAAAUCGUUUAUUUUUUUUAAAUGUACACAAUGCGAACUUCGGGCCCUGGCCGCACACGUCCCGACUGCACACCCGGGCCGCACACCUUCAACAGAUUCGCGAAAAAAACGAUGUUUUUCACCUUUUUUUUGCUCCAAAACUCGUUUUUAUGAAAAAUGCAAAGAAGAAACCCCCCUUAUUUUUGCGAGAUCUAUCAAAAAACGCAAAAAUCUCUUCAAAAUAAGAUCAAAUAAGCUCCAGAUCUGAAAAAAAAAUGAUUGAUACAACCAAGCUCUGAUACCAAUUGUAAGUCCCCAAAAUUGCUUGUGUAUCAAUCAGAGCCAAUUGAUGGUGCGGAAUCCCAAUCAAUUGGAUGAUUUCAGAUCAAUAUAGAAGAGAAGGAGAAGAAGAAUAACUUGAAUCUAAUGUAUUGAUGAUAUGAUUGGUGCUCCUUACAAUAUAUUCUCUCACACACACUAUUCUUCUCUCUAACUUUUUAUCUCUUCUCUAGCCUUACACUCCCACAUGCACUCCUAUAUUUAUAGCACUACCAGCAAUACACGAGUGUACAGCUGUAAAUGCAUGUACGGUCGUACACAGGGUGUGCAGCCGUACACACAUGUGCAGCCGUACACAGCCACAAAAUUACAUAUUACAUUAUACAAAAAUAUAUUUUCCUAGAAAAGCAAAGUAUAAACCAUAUUUUUUGACCCAACAGAAGAUAUCCUUAUAAGUCUAGAUCUAGGUUGUAAGGUCCAAAAGUCAACUUAAUGCAUAGGAAAUAGACCAUUAAGCCCUUAACCCACGGAAUCCUUAAUUCAAAACUUCAAGAAUCACUGUAGUGACCCUAAUGGACCCUAAAAAUGUAAACUGUAUGGACGUGCAUAGUACAUGCAUGUCCUUUUCCGUGAUUAGUUCGAAAGAUGCAAUAUAACUUAAGCUUUCAACAAAACUUCCCAAAUCACCACCAAUUCCUAGAUCUAUGACAUAUAAUGCUCUUAGAACAUAAAGAGAUAAUAAAGUUGCAAACUUUAUCUCUUCAACCCAUACAAUCAUAUCAAAGAGAGCAUAAUAUACCAUAAACUUAGGUCUAAGAAGAAGGAAAUGAAAUUUUGUAAAUUUGAGGACUUAGAAAGGGCCUGGAAGAUACCUACAAGUGAAAAGGAGGUUUUCUAGCUGAAUCAAGGAACUAACUCUUCUUCUUCUUCCCUCAAAACCACCAAGACCAUGUAAAAAUGAACACAAAAGCUUCUAAAGGAUUAUGGUUUGCAAAGGAGAUGUAUGAGGAUGAUGGAGGCUAAUAAGGAACCCUAGGUUCAUGGUAAUGAGGUUUAAAUAAGAGAAACCCAAAAAAAUCAUGGGCUUGGGCCAAAACAGCUGCCAUGUUGUGGCCAACCUAAUGCCACGUCGUAGCACAGGGUUUUGCAAGACUACAUCUUUAGUCCGUGAUAAAUAGAAGCUAAUUCAAUUCGGAACACGAUUGUUACAUGCAAGUUGAAUCUAUGCUCCAACGAUGAUCCCACCACCUUCAAGUCACCAAGACACCACCAAUGCUCAACAAAUCAUAAAUAGGGCUAGGUUUUCAUUUGAAAUGAGUGGAGGCUAAAUAGAAUACCCUAGGUCAUGAUUUAUGAUCCUUAAAUAUCAAAGAAACACCUAAAAUUCAUGGGCUUAGGCUGCAACCAUCUUUAUGAUGUGACCACCCUCUUGUCACAUCAUGAAAAGCCCUCUUGGAUACACAUGUCAUUUUCAACUUGUCACACUGUUAUCUCCAUAUGGUCAUCUCGUGAGACACAGUUUUACCCAAAAACCAUACCUUUGAAUCUUUGAUGCCCUAAACUGGUUCGUUCUAGAAACUUGGUGUUCGAAUUCUCCCCCAAUUAUAUUAGAUUUCAUCCUCAAAAUCAUUUCUCACUUAUACUCUUGAAGUAACCCCUAAUGAUUCCUUCAAACCCGACCCUUCAACGCGGGCUAAGAUCGAUGGAAUGCCACCAUCUAAAACCAUCGCCAACAAUGGUUCCAAGCCGAGCUCAUAAGCCAAUCCAAGCAGAGACUCCAAGGUCUGAAUCACCUCUAUUGCAACAUCUUUUAAGGAGUCAAUCAUCUCCAAAAAAUUAUGUAAACCUUAAAUUUUCUUGAAACCAUGUGACCUGAAGAAAUUAUGUUCACACGACCUCAUUAAACCAUCAAAGGAAGAACUUGAUUCCUUAUUCGUAACCUUUAGAUCCCAAAGUCUUACACAAAUUUCAAGUAGACAGAGCAUCCGUAAUUCUCACUCAUGCUCACCAAUAAUCGUAGACCUGAAUCGACCAAGACCUCCUGAUUUUGUGCCGCCCAUCAAAAAGUCAAAGAAGGAAACCACCACAUAUGUCAUAGCCGACAGUCCUUACAGACCGACACACCAACAAAAUUUCUAGCAAAGCCUAACAGAUGAGACUAGCCAACCUUCAUAUCAACUGUCCUGACCGGAAUCCAUAGAUUUGAUCGGUCCAAGGUCUUAACUGCCAGACAAUGCCCUACGGGAAAAUAGAACAUGAAGCCCAUGGUCGAUCGCCAUCAUUUCUAUCCUUGCAUAUAGACAUGUGUGGAUGAAAUUUUAAUGCAAAAUCAAUCAAUAGAAUAUUAAACUAGAUCGAUCAUUCACCCAGGUCAAUAGCUCUGUCAUCCACUGACGACACUUAGGCUUACAUCGAUAAACUAACCACUAACAGCACUCAUAACCUAACAUAAACACCCACAGAACCAGCAAAACUUAACUAACCCUACCUGGCCUUUGGUCCAUGACUUAGACUUCCAGACCCCAAUCAAAUAAGAACAGACAAGGAAGCUCUCCUCACAACCCUCAACCUAAAAUGCUAACACCAUAGAGCCUUAAAGCAUGAACACACCCUAAGAAUUACUAAGACAACCAAAACCAAGAAAAUUCAAAAGGAAAUACAACAACUUACGAUGGCCCUAAUGUGGAAAUUGGAAGAUUAAGAAGUUGAGAAAAAGUCCUGAACUGGUGAAAUCUGGCUCAGAGCUGAACCUUAGCAUACUUACAAGGUCUCUACUAUACUUACUUGGAAUGUCUGAGACUUUGACAGCCCCAAAACCCUUCAAAAUUCUAGGCUUACUUAAAUUGUACUACUCAGUCUCACCCUUGACAUCCAUAUACACAAGAGGAUUUGAACCCUCAGACAACACUCAAGAGCUCUAAAACCUAUGCAUAAAAUCCAAGGAAAACAAUCAAUAUAUUCCUAAACAAGAUAUCAAAAUAAACACAAACUAAUUAAAACAAUUUCGUUCAACUAGUCAUUCAAGAUUGUUACUGAACUUCGAAAUAGAAAUAGAAAAAUACAGAUGAUACCAACACUGUAGUAACCAACUAAAUCAAGGAAUUGAUAAAUCAAACUAUAAUACUUGUUUUGUGCAUUUUGACUUAAUCUUUGACAACUAUUAAGUUGAAAUAUGUUAUGUUUAAUUGCCUAAGUUUAGUAAUUAUGUGUGAAAACAUCGACAUUAAAACAUUAUAAUUAUAUAAAAGUUGUGUAAUACAUUUGAAUGAGGAAAAACUUUAUGAACGAUUCUCAUGAUGUGAGCAAUGAACCUCAAACCGGGAGCAAAAACGGUAAAACAAUAUACACAAAUAAAUAGUGGGGGCAUUCUACUUUGGGGUGUCACAACAUGAGAGGAGAUAAAUCACGACGUGAGAGUGUAUGCUACCUCAUAUAAUUAGUGAUGGAUCCCAUUUUUUGUAUUAAAGAAAAGUCACGAAUAAAGCUUACAAUGUGACCGAUUAGCCCACGACAUGCGUACAAAGCUCACAACGUGAGCAAUGAAGUUCACGAUGUGAAGACGCAUCAGAUGUUAAAAGAAGUUCCAUCCUUAAAUAGAGUAAUUUGAUUCCAAUUCUCUAGAAACACAUACUAAGAUGCGAUUUACACCUAGUAAACCCUCCUAUGUCCGAUUUAAUAGAGAUUGAAGUCAUAUACCACCAUUUUUUUGAGUAAAGGUAAGAAUAAUCAUCUAUAAAACCAUUAUUGUGAAAUUCGGGCAAAGAUAAAAGGUUCUAGUUGAAACCCUAGACGAUGGGUUUGAUUCAUUUGAUGAAAUUGGGAUGAUAUAUGAUAUAAUAUGGCUUAAUUCCAAGUUAGUAUCAUACUAUUGAACCUUUUAUGUUCAAUUUGAUUCAUGAGGGUUGGGUUCAUUUGUAAAUAAAUGUGAAUUUAUAAAAUAUGUCUUCAAAUGUUGGAUUUUGAUGUAUGUAAUUAUAUAACAAGUAAGUUAAAUGUUACAUCCGGGCUUCCAGGUAUAUAUUUUAUUUAUGUAAUUAUUUUGAGGACUAUUGAGCUAAUCGACGAGUCGGUGCUACAACUCGUCGAGUAGAGUCGCGUCGUGCCAUGCGAAAUUAAUGGCCUACUCGACGAGUACAAGAGUCGACUCGCCGAAUAGACAUUGUGAUGAGAAAGCCUAAAUUCCCGAGGUUUAGGACCUAUUUAAAAGCACUUUUAGCCUCGUUUGCGGCUACCUUUCUUUGAGAACAAACCCUAAUCGAGCCUUGAGCCUUGAGAGAGAGUUUUGAGCUAAUCUUGAGUUUUUUUUGUGCACCUUUUGAAGAAGAAGAGGAUGACUUCAAGCCAAGAGACAAGAAGGAGUUAUUAUAUAUGUGGUUGCUUCAUCUCAUAGCUUCUAGAAAAGGUAUAAAGCUUGCACCUUUCUCAUUUUGUUGUAUACAUCUCAUGUCUUGGAAAUUAGGGCUUUUUCUAGUCAAUUGGGGAUCUAGAUUGUUUUAAGUUCCUUUAGAGGUUUGGACUUUGGAUCUGGAUCAUGUGAGGUCCCUAGAGCCAUAAAGUCCCUGCUUUAUUUAGCCAUGAUAAUGAUCUUGAGUGAAAAACUCUUUCUAAGGUGUGUUUUGGCAUUUCAAGCUCUAAAUGUCAAGCAUGCAUGUAAAGCCCGUGACUUUACAUGAUAAAGGAGCCUUAAGAAUGUAGAUCUAGAGUUUGGAAAGGUUUUCUGCCUUGAAUUCGACUGAAUGAGAUGAGAGUCUGAAUGGACUCGCUGAGUCGAGGAACCGACUCGAUGAUUCGGAUAGGGUUGUCCUGGUGGUUUUGAUUAUGCAACAACUAUCACACCCCGAAACCCAGGGCGGAAACGUUCUGGGGUGGAGGUGACUUCAUGUUGAGUAUCACAACCAAUGUACAUAGUAAGCGAAAUAAACAAACAUUACAUUACAUAUUAGAAUUUACAUUUGUUUGAAAACCAAGACUUAUAGUUGUUAUACAUAUGUAUAUAAGAACAAAAGUAAAGACGCAACUUCUACGCACUCCGUCUUCGCCAAAAAGGAUCACUGGGUACCUGUCUAAUGUGGACCUGAGAAUACAAGCAGUUUUGAAAAUCAGCAUAAAGCUGGUGAGUUCAUAAGUGGUUUUGUUUUCUGAAAAUGUACAAGUUUCCUUUUGUUUUCUGAAAAUGUUACACACCCAAGAAAAUCCCAUAUUUUCUUAUAUGUAAAGCUUGGUUAUCUAUUUUGUUACACAAAUCAGGUUAUGAACAACUGUUAUCCCAGGAAAAUCCCAUAUUUUCCUAAAAUUUGGUUACCGAGCUGAGAUGUAAUGUAAAAGAUGUAUACUGAAAACCUGGUUAUCCUCGUGAAAUGUAUUAGUUUUAUCAUGUAUGUAAAACUAAUAAGUGUAAAGUAAACUGGUUACUAACCCAUUAUUACUAACAAGUAAAUCUCUGUUAUCCAAAUUGCGAGUUCCAUAACCAUACGAUAGACUAGAUAUGGCAAUAAGUAGUCCACAUCACCCUAUGACUUUCGUCACCACUGAACCUUUCGGUUCAGCUGUAGCUAGCAGCCAGGUGUGGGGUAGUCAGCCCCGUAUAGAUCUAUACAAUCAAGUGUAACAGCCCGGAUUCCCAGGUAUUAUUCAUUUAUUUAUUUUUGUUAAUUUGUGAGGAGACUCGGCGAGUUGGAGCCUAGACUCGCCGAGUAUGAUUGCGGAUUUGGACGCGGAUUCACGUCCGGACUCGGCGAGUCCAAGAGUGGACUCGGCGAGUCCAUGUUGUUUAAUGAAACCCUAAUUUCCCGGCCCUGAGCCCUAUUUAAAGGACCUUAUAAACCUUCAUUGCGGCUACCUUCGACCUUGAGAGCACCAGAGCAUCUGAGAGUCCUUGUGAGUGAGAUAAGAGGCCAUUAUUCACCAUCUUUAUGUGUGUUUGCAAGAAAGGAAGAGGAAGGCCAAGCUAGGAGAGUUGGGGAGCUUGGAUCUACUUCCAUUUCGGCAGAGGAAGCUAUUAGAGAUAAUAUUCAGAGCUUAUUCUCGUGUUUUUAUUGAUAUGGUCAAAUCUAAAGUUUCUUCAUGCCUUGUUUGCCUUGUAAUUGGAGUGUGAGAGGUCCCAUGGGGAAAUGGUACCUAGAUCUGGACCUUAGUAGGUCCAUAGAGUCCCAAAUGCUCUGCUUUAUGCCUUUCCUUUUGAGUUGGGGACUUAGGUUACCAUUUUAGAUGUCAUUUCACCAAAAGAAGCCUUGUAGGCGUUGUAUGGUAGCCAAGAUUGUAACUUUACGUGAUGAAUGUGCUUGGAAGUGCUGGAUCUAUGAGUUAAUGGAACGGAUCUGACCUCAGGAGUGUGUUUGAGUUCAUGCAUGGCUUAAACUCGCCGAGUCCGAAGAACAGACUCGGCGAGUAGCAUGAAGAUUUUCCCUAACCACUCAGCGAGUGGUCUUGCCGAGUUAAGGGGUUGACUCAGUGAGUCAGGGAGAGUUAGAGAGGGUUGACAGGUGGACUGAGUCGAGCUGGAACUCGCCGAGUUGUUCUUGAGACUCGGCGAGUUGAGUCGUGGUGGCCCCGCGAUUCAUGCCAGGUGGAACUCGUCGAGUCAGGGAAGUACUCGACGUGUCAAAAGAGGAUCCUAGGGAGUCAGUGAACACGUAUAGACUCGCCGAGUCGCUCUAGUGCACUCGCCGAGUCCGGUCAAAGUUGACCGUUGACCGGUGACCAGAUUUGACCAGUGUUGACUUGAUGGGGGUAGUCAACCUUAGUUGAGAAAGUGUUAAUUAGAGAUAUAUUGUGUUAUAGGAGGAUUAUAGCUCGGAGGAUCGAGCGCGAGUGAUUUCCGGGAUUUGCGAGUUAUCGAGAUACGCGAGGUGAGUCUUCUCACUAUACUUUACCUUGAGUAGGUAAUCAGAGUUAUGUGACAAAGUAUUUGUAUGCUAUAUGUAUGUUAUGUGUUGUACUGCAUUAUUUCUAUGUGAUUUAUGUUGUGCAUGUUUAUAGAGUUGGAACCGGAAGGCUCCCAGAGUUAGAACCAGUGGGUUCACAGAGUAGGGUCUACGGACCCACAGAGUUAUAGCCUCGAGUGGCUAAUAUGUGUUAUGUGUGGUAUUUUGGGGAACUCACUAAGCUUUGUGCUUACAGUGUUGGUGUUAAUUGUUUCAGGUACUAGUGAUGACCGUGGGAAGGCGCCGGCUUGAUCAGUACACACACAUGGGAUUUUUAUGAAAUGUGAUCUUGGGAUACUUGUAUGACAUGGAUUGGAGUUUCAAACUUUGAUGUUUUAUGAAAAAUUAAAUGAAUAUGUUUUUAUAUUAUGCGAAAAAUUAUUUUGAAAUUCACGGUGUUACAUCAAGUCACACUCUCCCUCCAGGAGAUUCUGGUUACGGGGGCGGUCCUCCACUCGCGUAACUCUGUGGAGUGUUUCUGAGGACGUGUCUCUAAUUUCUAGGACUAACAUAUUUACUAGUAAUAAUACAGAAAGAUACUGUUACAAACGAUGAUCCUCCAGUCACGUAUCUCUGUGGAGUGUUACCGAGGACAAAACAAUGUACUAGGUUUCAUGGUCAAAGUUCAAAGGUUAUUCUCUAAUUUCUAGGACUAACAUAUUUACUAGUAAUAAUUGGUUACUAACCCAUUAUUACUAACAAAUGUAAAUCUAUAUAUGUAAUGUAAUGGUUGUUUACUUUGCUUACUAUGUACAUUGGAUUUGAUACUCAACGUGGAGUCCGCCCCGAAAACGUUUCCGCCCUGGGUUUCUGGGUGUGAUAGCAACUCGGCGAGUUGACGUGUCAACUCGGCGAGUUGAGUCGAACUUUUGAAUGAUUCUAAAUAUGGAGAGUAGACUCGUUGAUUCCCAUAUGUGCACUCGACAAGCAGGGUCACCAUGGAUUGUUGACUCGGGGUUGACUCCUGUUGACUUUAGGGAUUGGUCAACCAUGUCUUUGGGAAACCAUGGAGGGGUAAAAUGGUCUUUUUCCCAUUUCAAGAGAGAGCAAGAGAGAGAGCGUGAUAUGUAACAUCCAAAAUUUCGAAACAAUUAAAACUUUUCAAAAUCACCCAUUUUAUUAACGUUGUUACAAAAAGGUUUCCAAUACAUUAUUAAACAGAGUAAUUUCCCAGGUUCAUAUUAUAAAACAUCAAUGCGAGGAACGGUACGAUCACGCCUUUGCCUUGCCACAGACUCUUGAGAACCUGAAACAUAAAACCACAACUGUAAGCCCGAAAGCUUAGUGAGAUACCCCCAGAAUACCAACCACAUAUACGCCUUUCCAGGCCCUGACCUUCCGGUCCGUCACACAACAUAAUCGCCUUCCGGCCCGUAACAUAUUGCCUUCCGGCCCAUAAUAUAAUCGCCUUCCGGCCCAUGACAUACAUAGCACACAUAUAACAAAUCGCUUACCACAUAUAGCAUACAUAUCACAUAUCAUAGCAUUACUCUUAUAAGAUACCGGUCUAGCCGGUCACUGUCAUAACAUUACUCUAUAAAUCAGUCAACAUACUAAAUGCAUACAUUCGUCUUUCCAGGCCAUGACCUUCCUAUCCACAUAGUAAUGCCUUCCGGCUCAUAACAUAUAACAACUUACAACUACCCGGAUUUCCAUCCGAUAAACGGGUCGGCCUUAGUGCCAUAAACCCUAGCGAUAUAGUGAGGAUAACUCACCUCGAAACUGCCGACUGAACAGAUAGCUCAAGCUGCUCCGAUCACUGAUACGAUCUCCACCUCUAGAUAGUCACCAAUGCACUGAACUCACACAAUAACAACAAUUACCAAAAUAUCCCUGGAACCACUGGUCAAUCAUUGAUCAAAGACAAGGUCAAAGUCAACCCCUGACUGACCCUACUCGUCGAGUCAACCCAAUGACUCGCCGAGUCCCCAUACUCAGAACUUUACUUAACCCGCGACCUAACUCGCCGAGUCACCCCAAGACUCGCCGAGUUCAACGACUCUGAGUCUACUCGUCCUUGACUCACCGAUUCCUUAAGAUUCCCUUCCUACUCGUCGAGUAUCCCCCUUUUUACUCGACGAGUUCCUCCUGGAAGAAUCGCGGGGCCACCCCGACUCAACUCGCCGAGUCUGAAGAACAACUCGACGAGUCCCAGUUAUUCUUCAAGCUACUCGCCGAGUCUGUUCAUCAGACUCGUCGAGUCCAUGCCAUGCAGUCGAUCAAACUGCUUCCUGAGAUAAGUAUUGUUCCGAAAUACACAAGCAUGGGACCUUCUGGACCUCUAAGGUCCUAAUACAGGGUUAUAGUCGUUUGGGUAACAAGGGUAACACUUAAUCUAAUCACAAGGGGUUCCAUAAACCCUAAUUCCAUAACACAUCAACAUAGCAGAGGAUAAUUCGAGUUCUUACCUGAAUAAUGCAUCCUCUGUGUCCCCAAUCCUCAGAAUGUGACUCCCUUGCUGUUCCUUUAGCCAAUCCCUUCUCUUUCUUGCACAACAAUUCCUCCAAGAUCAAUAAUGGCCCUAAGACCUUGCUCCAAAUGUACCCACUCGAUUUAGGGUUCUUCCCAGAAGGCUAAACUGAACAAUGACGGCCAAUGAGUGCCUCUUAUACGUCCCAAACCUGAACGGUUAGGGUUUUCGCUAAACAGCGUAGACUCGCCGAGUCCAUAUCGGACUCGUCGAGUCCAGUCGCGAACCCGCGACCCGGUCUGUGCUCCUACUCGGCGAGUCAAGGCUCCAACUCGCCGAGUCCCUUCUUAAAACACCCCCAAAACAUAAUUAUAUCAAUAUUUGAAAUUCCGGGCUGUUACAACUCUCCCCCACUAGAACUAGACUUCGCCCUCGAAGUCUCACUCUGCAAACUAGCUCCGGAUGCUGCUCCCGCAUCUCACGUUCCAGCUCACCGGUCAUUUCCGAUCCCCUCCGGUGCUGCCACCGAACUAACACUAGAGGUAUCUCCUUAUACUUCAGAACCUCGAUCUUCCGUCCUCUGAUGACCACUGGCUUCUCGGCAUAAUUCAGGCUUGCAACCACCUGAAUGUCUUCUAAUGGAACCACUGCCGACUUAUCGGCUAUAAACUUCCUCAAUUGCGACACAUGAAAGGUGUCGUGGAUCUGUCUCAAAUCCGAGGGAAACUCUAACCGCUAGGCUACCCGGCCUACCCCCGCAAUCACAUGAAAAGGCCCAAUGUACCGGGGCCCCAACUUGUCCCUCUUCUUGAAUCGAAUCACUCCUCUCUAAGGGGAGGCCUUCAGGAGUACGAAGUCGCCGACCUGAAACUCAAGCUCGGAUCGGUGGCUGUCUGCAUAACUUUUCCUGUCGGCUCUGGGCGGUCAAUAACCUCUGUCUCAUCUGCUCUGUCGACUGAAGCCCGAUCUCUGUACUGUCCAUCGCUCUCUGUAACCGAGAAUUACCCAAAAUGCAACUCUGCUCAAAAUCUCCACAAUCACUCGACCCAUAAGGGUUAGGAAACUAAGAAUCACCGGAUCCCCGAUCCAAAGCCCACUUCGUCCAUUCCGGACCGACUGAGAGAUCCAUUCUCACUCUCAGAGCAACUCUCACAAGUUCUCCUCCUGUCAUCACACCCACAUGCUGAACUAACCCCAACACCCGCAGGUUAGAAGACCCGAUACACUGAUGAUAUCCUCGAACAUCUCCCAAGAUGAACCACUACAUCCACCCUACACCCUGAUCAGAAUCACACUGGAAAUUUAAGAUUCUCUCUCCCUCUGCAUCCCUUCCGAGCCUCAACAGACAUCCCCAACCCGGAUGGGUUCCUAUUUCGCUGCCGCGAACACGAUGCUCGAAGCCAUACUCGAAAUACUCUAACCAUAACUCUGUUCUGCAGCUUUCAUUCUCGUGAACUUGCACCCCCUUUCGGAGUUACACACCUUUCUCUUUUCCUUCCAAGGGACCCUCUUGGCCAUAAUGCCACUCCAACCGGUGCGACGGUGCUUGCCCCAAUCGACACCACCCUUUUUGCGUGACUGCUAUUCACAUACUCUGGUUCUCACUGCAGGGCUCUCAAUCCCAUGCACUCUCUCCACUCAUCAAAAUCACUGCCUCAGCUAACAAGAUCACUAACCCGGGGCCAGACCUUCCAAUGCAAUCACACUGUAACAUACACGAUCCGCAAUCUCAAACUGAUCCAGCAAUACCAACAGAGUCUCCAGCAUGACUGGACCGACUCUCAUAACACAUACUAGCCACUCGAGGCUAGAUCUCUGUGGGUCCGUACACCCAAACUCUGCGAACCCUCAGGUUCUAACUCUGGGAACCUUCUGGUUCCAGCUCUAGAAACAUGCACAACAUAAUCCCGUGGGAUUAAUGCAGUACAACUAAUCACGUACCUCAAACAUACCAAUACUCUGAUCGCAUAACCCCGGUUACUUACUCAAGCUUGAUCCCGGCCUUCUCUCAGGCCUCCACAAUCAAAUGCCCUAGGUCUGUAUCCCGCCCCGCAUACCCGACACUCGCUCUCGUCGGCCUAUACUCUGCGCUGACAAACACUGCUGAAUCCCAACAGCUAAGCACCCUCACAUACUCAUCGAUCUCCCGGAGAAUUCUCCAAUUCUCCCCCACUAAAGCACUGACUAACUGCCACCGAUCGUCAUUAACGACCUUUCAGAACAAUCCUGCACAAAGAGAACAUUUACACACUGACUGCUUCCCACAAGCAUAAGCAACCCUCAGCAAAACACAUCUCCUCCCUGAUCAAUCCACUCAAAAGAAUCCGGUCUUUCAAUUAUCCACUCUACGACUGCAGAUGCUACCCGACAUUCAACCCAGUGCCGCAUCUCCACUAACAACCCUCACGAACGAUAACCAACGGAAUUCCCAACAAUAACCCGUAACCAAACCCACAACCUGCCAAAGGAUGAAUACCACAUCGAAAACCGCACAAGGCUACCGGCACCAAAACACCAAACUAUAACCAUACCAAACCAUCAGGGAACAACGAAUGCCAAAGCGAAAACCUGAAGCACCAAUCCAUAACCAUGCCAAACCCGCGAAACAACGAAUACCGCAUCGAAAUCCACACAAGAUACCAGCACAAACAAUACGCCACAAUCAACGCAAGGCAAUCAAGACAUCAAGAAAGCAUCAUACCCGCAGCUGCCUCCGGCACUGCUCCGUCUCCCUCUGCCGCAAGCCGAUAAGCACGACCCUGAGCCCUUGAGCUCCGCUCCAUCCUGUCCUCCUCCUGAACUCCUCGAGGUGGCCGGUGCUAGAGCCUGCACCGGUCCUGCAGAAAGCUGUGGACGGUUGACCCUCAAAUGUCCAACCUGCCGACACUGAUAACAAAUCCUCAAAUCCCGAAUUGGCACUGACUGCCGACAAUCCCGUGCACCGUGCCCCUCCUUUCCGUACUUGCGGCAUGCACCACCGGACCAGCAAGCUCCGGUGUAACCCCUCCCACACUUCCCACAAGUGUGGCCGCUCCGAUCCCCCAUUCUAACAUCUACGGUCCUGAACCGUUUCGGCGCCGACUGCGACUGCAUCGGGGCCUGCCUCAGCUCACGCAACUGCAACUUCAACCUCUAACUCACGCCACAUGGCGGCCUCCUGCAACUCCAACAAGGUCUCACACCUCCGCGCAGACACGAACUGCCUGAUAUCCCUCUUGAGCAUACUCAGAUAUCGGGACAUCUGAGCCUGCCCCGAAGCGAACUCAGGGCAAAACAUCGCCCUCUCAAUAAACAUCCCGGUGAUCUCAGUCACCGACUCCAAAUCCUGCUUCAGCUCGAGGAACUCCCGAGCCAAUCUCUCCUUUUCAUCCCGCGGAACAUAGCGAGUACUGAACAUCUCUCUGAAUCGAUCCCAUGAACCGCAGCCCUCCGUGCAUCGGAAAAUGACCUCGUAGUCAAUCUCUACCAAUCCUUCGCUCCUAGCCUCAACAGGUUCAGAGCACACUUCACCCUCUGAUCAGCAGGGCAUAAACUCGUGGAGAAAUACCCCUCCACGUCUGAUAACCAUCUCAUAGCAACAAUCGGGUCCUGAACUCCAUCGAAUGUGGAAGGCUUUGCAGAAUAGAAAUCCCGAUACUGAAAACCCCGACUAGCCCCUUUCUUUACCGUUGCUACAGCCGCUGUAACUGCCGUGGCAGCCGUCUCUGCGAGAGCCGCAUAUCGCUCAUCAAACUACUCAAUCAUAGUGGUCCUGAUCGACCCAAACCAUUCUGGCAACUCAGCCCGUAACAAUGCAGCAACCUCAUCACGCAGGAUCUCGCGAAUCCUCGCAUCCCGCUCGCUCGUGCUCGUCCGAUCGAUAACCUCCGACGGCACCGAUCCACCCGGAACUCGCUCUCCAGCUCCCGAUCCUGAUCCGGAUCCACUAUCGUCAUGCCUCGAGAUCUCCAUAAUGAAGACACCCUACCAAUCUCAGACACUUCCCAAAAUCCUGGGAUCCAACUCUCGCAACCCUACCCUAGAGACCAUGGUUUCCCUGAUACGCGUAUGGGUCCUGUGCUUUCAGUAGUACGGGCCCAUACUACCUUCCACACCUACCCAUAUUUGUAUGAAGUACUACCACAAUACCCUAGGGAACAUGCAUAACAACUAUCAACCCUCACCACUAGAGGAACACUGAGAAUAUCCCAUAAGGGACCCUAGGCUACAGGCAUCACAAAUCAGGCAACAUUAUCAUGAAUUCCUGAAGAUCCCUAGCCUAACUCUAGCAUGCUGUGCUAUCAAGCUCAAAUAAACAAUAUCAAGUAUGGUAUCUUGGGGUUACUUACUGGCUCCGGCUGAUCGUACCUCCGCGUCCUCCUUUACCAAAUUUGAAAACCAUUUUGAUUUCUAAUUUUAAUUUCUCUUUUUAAAAUCCUCCUCGAUUUGAGACUGGAGUCACACGAAUGUUUCCCCAAUUCACUCAAACCAAGGCUCUGAUACCAACUUGUAACAUCCAAAAUUUCGAAACAAUUAAAACUUUUCAAAAUCACCCAUUUUAUUAACGUUGUUACAAAAAGGUUUUCAAUACAUUAUUAAACAGAGUAAUUUCCCAGGUUCAUAUUAUAAAACAUCAAUGCGAGGAACGGUACGAUCACGCCUUUGCCUUGCCACAGACUCUUGAGAACCUGAAACAUAAAACCACAACUGUAAGCCCGAAAGCUUAGUGAGAUACCCCCAGAAUACCAACCACAUAUACGCCUUUCCAGGCCCUGACCUUCCGGUCCGUCACACAACAUAAUCGCCUUCCGGCCCGUAACAUAUUGCCUUCCGGCCCAUAAUAUAAUCGCCUUCCGGCCCAUGACAUACAUAGCACACAUAUAACAAAUCGCUUACCACAUAUAGCAUACAUAUCACAUAUCAUAGCAUUACUCUUAUAAGAUACCGGUCUAGCCGGUCACUGUCAUAACAUUACUCUAUAAAUCAGUCAACAUACUAAAUGCAUACAUUCGUCUUUCCAGGCCAUGACCUUCCUAUCCACAUAGUAAUGCCUUCCGGCUCAUAACAUAUAACAACUUACAACUACCCGGAUUUCCAUCCGAUAAACGGGUCGGCCUUAGUGCCAUAAACCCUAGCGAUAUAGUGAGGAUAACUCACCUCGAAACUGCCGACUGAACAGAUAGCUCAAGCUGCUCCGAUCACUGAUACGAUCUCCACUCCUAGAUAGUCACCAAUGCACUGAACUCACACAAUAACAACAAUUACCAAAAUAUCCCUGGAACCACUGGUCAAUCAUUGAUCAAAGACAAGGUCAAAGUCAACCCCUGACUGACCCUACUCGUCGAGUCAACCCAAUGACUCGCCGAGUCCCCAUACUCAGAACUUUACUUAACCCGCGACCUAACUCGCCGAGUCACCCCAAGACUCGCCGAGUUCAACGACUCUGAGUCUACUCGUCCUUGACUCACCGAUUCCUUAAGAUUCCCUUCCUACUCGUCGAGUAUCCCCCUUUUUACUCGACGAGUUCCUCCUGGAAGAAUCGCGGGGCCACCCCGACUCAACUCGCCGAGUCUGAAGAACAACUCGACGAGUCCCAGUUAUUCUUCAAGCUACUCGCCGAGUCUGUUCAUCAGACUCGUCGAGUCCAUGCCAUGCAGUCGAUCAAACUGCUUCCUGAGAUAAGUAUUGUUCCGAAAUACACAAGCAUGGGACCUUCUGGACCUCUAAGGUCCUAAUACAGGGUUAUAGUCGUUUGGGUAACAAGGGUAACACUUAAUCUAAUCACAAGGGGUUCCAUAAACCCUAAUUCCAUAACACAUCAACAUAGCAGAGGAUAAUUCGAGUUCUUACCUGAAUAAUGCAUCCUCUGUGUCCCCAAUCCUCAGAAUGUGACUCCCUUGCUGUUCCUUUAGCCAAUCCCUUCUCUUUCUUGCACAACAAUUCCUCCAAGAUCAAUAAUGGCCCUAAGACCUUGCUCCAAAUGUACCCACUCGAUUUAGGGUUCUUCCCAGAAGGCUAAACUGAACAAUGACGGCCAAUGAGUGCCUCUUAUACGUCCCAAACCUGAACGGUUAGGGUUUUCGCUAAACAGCGUAGACUCGCCGAGUCCAUAUCGGACUCGUCGAGUCCAGUCGCGAACCCGCGACCCGGUCUGUGCUCCUACUCGGCGAGUCAAGGCUCCAACUCGCCGAGUCCCUUCUUAAAACACCCCCAAAACAUAAUUAUAUCAAUAUUUGAAAUUCCGGGCUGUUACAUGAUAACUUAGUUAUUAUGUGAUUUAAAGAGUUAAUUAGAUGUGAUUAUCUUGUAUGAUUAGGCGGAGGCUAGAUUUGGUUAUUCGUGUGCGAGGAGUAUUCAUUCACUUAGCUUACUUACGCGGUGAGUCUUCACAUUAUAUUUACCAUGAGUGGUAUCUUUGUGUGACUGAGAUGUCUUAUAUGCUUAUUUUUAUGUGUGAUAUUCUGCAUUAUGUUUCUGUGAUUUAUGCUGAGAAUUAUUAUUAUGAGUUUCCUGAGUUAGGACCAGAGGGUCCACCCGAGUAUGGGACCGGAGGGUCCCACUGAGAUCCAUGGACCGGGGGGGUCUUAUAGAGAUAUAGCCUCGAAUGGCUAAGGAGCUGUGUUUGGUAUUUUUGGGAACUCACUAAGCUUUAUGCUUACCGUGUUAUGUGUCAUGUGUUUCAGGUACUUCCGAGGAUUGCGGGAAGGCACCAACGUGAUUGUACACACAUCUGAGCUAGAGUUAUAUUUUUAUGGAUCCUGGAUUGUGAUAAAAACUUUUGAAAACUAUGUUGAUGACUGAUAUUGAAGUUUUUGAGAAAUGGGAACAUAUGUAAUUAAAAAUGAAAAUUUUGGUUUGAAAAUUUCCAUCGUUACAAGUUGGUAUCAGAGCCUUGGUUUGAGGGAUUCGGACGCACCUUUUGGUGUGUUUGAACUCAAACCGAGGAUUUGAGAAGAAUUUUCAAAAGCAAAGAAUUAUUCCAAAAGAGAACGAGUUUUAAGAGAAACAAGUUGAAGCAGUGUGUACAAUCAGUCAGAGCCCAAACGGUGAUUUCCCAAAAUACCCUUACUUUUGUGUUACGUGAUAUUUAAGAAAUAUAUUACUGAAGUUUCAUGCUAGGAACUAGGCUAGGUAUUUCAUAUCUUAGGGGUAGAGUUGCCUGAUUUGUGAUGCCUUAGUCUAGGGAUGUUUUGAUCAAGUGUUAUUUGUUAUUGUCGAGUAUGUGCUGAGUUCUGAGUCAGGAGGUAAUCUGGGAAGAGAUACUUAGAUGAGCCUAAUAGGGGUCUACUAAGAGAGUAGCCUCUGAUUCGUGAGAUAUAAAGUAUUUCGGAUUUAGAAUCCUAGGAGGAGGACUUAGGGUGACUACAGAUAGGGUAUGGAAGGUAGUAUUGGACCCAUAUUACUUAAAGCACCCGAUCUGCAGGCAAUCCAAGUAAGAAUCCUUAGGAUGCUAAGUAACAAGUAUGGAUGAUUAGUCGAGUGUGGGUAUACUCGAGCGGGUCUCUGAUUGUUUUGUUUUGUGUUUUAGAGACAUCAUGGUAGGUACACGCUACAACCUUGAGAGUAGUGGAGUGAGCAAUGAUGAGAUUCGUAGGAUGAUUCAUCAUGAGGUGGCCGCAGUCAUCCGAGAGGCUAUUCUGGAGAUGUUUGGGUCUAUAAAUACCACCUUGAUUGAGACGUUUGAUGAGGGAUACGAUGCUAUUACCAAGGUUGUUGCUGCUGCUGCAGCCACCGCAACUGUCGCUACUGUCAGGCCGCAGGGAGGUGACUCGUUGCUGUACCGGGAGUUCAACAACACGAACCCACCAGAGUUUGACGGGACUCAGGAUCUGAUUGCUACGAUGAGAUGGAUCUCUAAUGUUAAGGGAUGCUUCUACACUUGCUCCUGCCCUAAGCAUUUGAGGGUACACUUCGCACUGAACCAGCUUCGCUUGGGAUCGAAGGACUGAAGGAAGAUUGUGAUGGCUAGUUUCACCCCUACAAAGCAUGCUGCAGUGACUUGGGAGAGAUUUGUUGCGAUGUUCUGAGAUUAGUAUGUUCCCCUUGUAAAGAGAAAACGGUUGGCCUAGGAGUUUAUUUCUCUUAAACAGAAGACAGAGCCGGUGACUAUGAUGAUGCAGAUGUUUCACGAGAGGGCAUUGUUUUGCCUUGAGCAUGUGGCGACCGAGCAGGCUUGCAUGAUUCGGUACUUAAGCAUUCGGAGGAGGGAUAUUCGGGAGUUCAUGGCGAACUCAUCUUACCAUACAUUUGUUGAGCUCCAGGUGAAUGUCAGGAGGAGGGAGAUCGAGCUGGAGACUCAGGCGAGGGAGGACGCAGAGUCUCAGGGGAGAGACCGGCGACCGGCGCAGUCGCAGCCGGCAGCCAAGAUGGCUAAGCCCGUUGAUCCGAGACUAGGAGGCUAGAAGGGCCGCAAUCUUGGAAACUGCGGCAAGAGUCACGAGGGAUCUUUUCGGGCGGGGAUUGGCUGCAAAUGUGGAAAAGAGAGGCAUAUGGCGAAGGACUACCCCAAGGGUUUUGCAGUCUGUUUCCACUGCAAUCAGACCAACCAUCGAAAGGCCGAGUGCCCUCAGCUUGUACAGGUAUCAGCACAGGAUUCCACUCCUUUUGCAUUGCGUGUUACUGAUGCUAGGCUGGUGGAGGCCGAGGUUCCGAAGGCUCGUGGGAUAACUUUCCAGCUGACAGUGGAUGAGGUCUACGCAGCACCUGAUGUUGUGGCUGGUACGUAUUUCUUUAUUAUCCAUUUAUUUAAUUCGAGCUUCCCUUUGUGAUUAUCAUGUGCUAUAUUUAGGUACAUUUCUUGUGAGUUCUGUACCUGCUCUAGUGUUAAUUGACUCCGGUGCGAGUCGAUCAUUCGUGUCUAUAGCCUUUAGUCGUCACACUAGCAACCGGCAUGAGGCGUUGAGUCGACCUCUGACGGUUUUUAUAGCAGAUGAGCAUGCAGUUUUUUCUACUGAGGUAUUCCGAGGAUGUGUGCUGGAGAUUUUUGGUGUAGAGUUUCUGAUUGACUUGGUACUGAUCGCAAUUGGUGAUGAUUGUGUCAUCUUGGGCAUGGAUUGGUUGAGUUGUUUUGGAGCUGUGAUCGACUACGAGUGUCAGUUGGUGACCACAUGAGACCGUAGUGGGGGAGUGCUUACAGUGUAUGGCGAGGGUACCCGAUCUGAGUUAGCAUUCUGCUCGGCUGCCAGAGCGAGACAGAGACUACAACAGGGUUGCAGGGGUAUUGCCGCGUACGUGAGGGAUACGCGGGUUGCUUCUAAGAGAGAGUACUAUCACUGAGGUUCCGAUAGUGAGUGAGUUCCCGAAUGCUUUCCCCAAGGAGUUACCGGGUGUGCCUCCCGAGUGGCAGGUUGAGUUCCAGAAUGAUUUGGUUCCGGGAGCGGCGCCUAUUGCCAAGGCACCGUAUCUCCUUGCGUCACCUGAGAUGCAGGAGUUAUCCUCACAGCUCCAGGAGCUGUUGGGGAAGGGAUUUAUCAAGCCAAGUAGUUGACGCCCUGAGGAUGAUCGAAGAGGCUUUAUACCAAAUUCUCCAAGUGCGAUUUCUGGUUACGAGAGGCCUAGUUCCUGGGACACCUCGUUAAUCACAAUGGGAUUUUGGUUGAUCCGGCCAAGAUUGAGGCGGUUAUGAGAUGGGAGGUGACGAGAUACCCUACCGAUAUCUAGAGUUUUCUGGGAUUGGUCGGCUACUAUUGGAGAUUUAUAAGAGAUUUCUCCAAGAUUGUCGUCCCCCUCACCAGGUUGACCCGUAACAGCGUUACUUUUACUUAGGGUCCCGAGCAGCAUACCUUAUUUGAGACUCUUCGCCAUAGGUCGUGCGAAGCCCUGGUGUUAGCCCUUCCCGAGGGAAUGGAGGACUUUGUGGUUUACUAUGAUGCAUCUAUAUCCAUGUUGGGUAUGUUGCUAAUGUAGAGAGGGCGCGUGAUAGCAUACGCAUCGAGGCAUUUGAAGCCUCAUGAGACGAGAUAUCCCACCCAUGAUCUAGAGUUGGGGGCAGUGUUGUUCGUCCUCAAGAUCUGGCGCCACUAUUUGUACGGGGUUCGGUGCACCAUAUACACGAACCACAAGAGCCUGAAGUAUCUCAUGGAUCAGCCCAACCUGAAUAUGCGAUAAAGGAGAUUGUUGGAUGUGGUGAAAGACUAUGAUUGUGAGAUCCUGUAUCAUCCGAGUAAGGCUAAUGUGGUAGCUGACGCCCUGAGCCGCAGAGUAGAGAGUGCCCCGAUCUGAGAUGUGUGUAUGAGGAUCAUGGUGAUGACUCCAGUCUUGGAUUCCAUUCGAGAGGCCCAGGCGGAGGCCGUGAGACCGAAUAACUGCAAGGGGGAACAGGUGAUUGGGCAGGUGUCCAAGUUUAUGAUGGAUAGCCGAGGGCUUAUGACUUUCCGAGGGCGGAUUCAGGUGCCCUAUUCGGGCGGAGCUCGGCAUAUACUGAUGGAGGAGGCGCAUAGAUCGAGAUUCUCGAUCCACCCCAGGGCCACUAAGAUGUAUUUGGAUAAGAAAAGGGACUACUGGUGGCCCUGUAUGAAAAGGGAUGUUGCUUGGGUAGUUAAGAGUUGCUUGACCUGCCGCCAGGUCAAGGCAGAGCACCAGCGUCCACAUGGUCCAUUGCAGCCUCUGGAGAUUCCCCAGUGGAAGUGGGAACAGAUCCUGAUGGACUUUAUCACCAAUUUACCGAGGACUACGGGUGGAGUUGAUGCCAUUUGUUUGAUUAUAGACCAACUAGCAAAGAGUCCUCACUUCCUUGCUAUUAGUGAGAGCUCUUCUGUGGAGAGAUUGGUCGAGAUCUAUGUGAGAUAGUGGUAGCAAGACAUGGGGCUCCGAUCUCUAUCGUGUCAGAUCAAGACGUGUGUUUCACUUACAGGUUUUGAAAGAAAUUUCAUGAGGGCUUGGGCACAUGCUUAAAUUUCAGUACUGCAUACCACACACUGACGGACCGACAGAGCGAUUGGACAAUUCAGAGGCUUGAGGACAUUUUGCGUGAUGUAUCUUGGACUUCGGAGGAAGUUGGGACACCUACAUACCACUGGUUGAGUUUUCUGAUAACAACAGCCAUCAUUCGAGUAUUGGUAUGCCUCCUAUUGAGCUUUUGUAUGGGAAGAGGUAUCGGACUCCCAUUUGUUGGGGAGAAGUGGGUCAGAGGGUGAUGGGUAGCAUGGAGAUAGUGUUGAAGACGACCGAACGGAUUCAACAAGUCAGAAAGAGUUAACUGACGGCCCAGAGUCGCCAGAAGACUUAUACGGAUAGGAGACAAUCUGAAUUAGAGUUUUAGGUCGGAGAUUUUGUACUCCUGAAGGUAUCCCCAUGGAAAGGGGUGAUCCGGUUCAGGAAGCGAGGCAAGUUGGGGCCCCGAUACAUCGGUCCUUUCAGGGUGACCGCUACAGUGGGUAAGGUAGCAUACCAUUUGGAGCUACCUACGGAGUUGAGUCAGAUCCAUAACACCUUCCACGUAUCUCAAUUGAGGAAGUGUGUAGCCGAUGAGAUAGCAUAGUUCCCUUAGAGGACAUUCAGGUGGAUGCGAGCCUGAAUUACAUUGAGAGACCAAUUACGAUCAUGGAUCGAAAGGUGAAACUUCUGAGUAAUAAGGAGGUACCCCUGGUUCAAGUAUAGUGGAAACAUCGAAGAGGGUCCAAGUUGAAUUGGGAGCCGGAGUCCGAGAUGCGAGAGCAGUAUCCAGGUUUAUUUCCAAGGCAUGACUUCGAGGGCGAAGUGUGAUUCUAGUGGGGGACAAUUGUAACAUCCAGGCUUCCAGGUAUAUUGUAUAUUUAUGUAAUUAUUUUUAGGACUAUUGAACUACUCGACGAUUUGGUGCUAUAACUCGUCGAGUAGAGUCGCGUCGUGACACAUGGGAUUAAUGGACUACUCGACAAAUACAAGAGUCGAUUCGUUGAGUAGAUGCUGUGAUGAGAAACCCUAAAUUCCUGGGUUUGGGACCUAUUUAAAGGUACUUAUAGCCUCAUUUGCGGCUACCCUUCUCCGAGAACAAACCUUAGCCUUGAGAGAGAGUUUUGAGCUAAUCUUUAGUGUUUGGUGCACCUUUGGAAGAAGAAGAGGAGGAAUUCAAGCCAAGAGAGAAGAAGGAGUUGUUAGAUCUAUGUUUGCUUCAUCCCAGAGCUUCUAGAAAAGGUAUAAAGCUUGCAUCUAUCUCAUUUUGUUGUAUAGAUCUCAUGCCUUGGAAGUUAGGGCUUUUUCUAGUCAAUUGAGGAUCUAGAGUGUUUUAAGUUCCUUUAGAGGUUUGGACUUCAGCUCUGGACCAUGUGACGUCCCUAGAGCCAUAAAGUCCCUGCUUUAGUCAGCCAUGAUAAUUAUCUUGAGUGAACAACUAUUUCUAAGGUGUGUUUUGGCAUUUCAAGCUCUAAAUGUCAUGCAUGAACGUAAAGCUCGUGACUUUACAUGAUAAAGGUGUUGGGUUUUGAGCAUUCUAACACUCCUAAGUGUACAUGCAACCCUAAAUACCUUGGAUCUAUGUAUUUUCUAUUAUACAUGCAAAUAUGAGUAUUCCAAGGUAUUAUCUUAUCUAGCAUACAAUCUAUGAUACUUGGGUAAUAAAACAAGUUAGAAUACAUACCUUGUUGUUGUAACUUGUCUUCAUGAAGCUUGAGUGCCUAGUGCCCCAUGUGUGACACCUCAAAUGCUUCACAUAACACCAUUAACACCUGGAAUAACCUUGAGAAUAAGGAUACUUUGGUUCUCUCUAGUGAAAUCGGCCUUUCCCUUUUUGUGUACACACAAUAGUACCCAUUUCACCAACCAAAGACAUCUUUAUAUAGUGUGGAGAUUAGGGUUAAACCCUAAUACCCAUGACCCUUCAUUUCAUAUGAUCCAUGGGUUAAACACUCCAUGGACUAUCCUUCAAAGCUUAGCCCAACCUAAAUGAACUUGGCCCAUAUCGCAUAUCUAUCUAAGAUUCCAUAUUUAAUUAGUUCCUUUUGAUCAUUUAAUUAAUUAAAAAUUAAUUCUUGAUCAAUACUAAUUAAAUAAUAUGAUUAUAUAUUAAUAUAUUAGAACUUAUAAUAUAUUAAUAUAAAUCACUAGUAUCCUUUUUCCUCAUCUUGUCAAUGCAAUUUUCCCGAUGCCAUGCAACCCAAAUGGACCAUGCCGGGUCCGGUCAUGUCUUACCAAUUAUAGUUAUGGACUUAGACAUUAAUCCAACAGUCUCCCACUUGGAUAAGUCUAAAACUAUUAUUGCAAGUAUGACUUUAUAACCCGACUAGCAAUUGUAGCUCUCAAAAGCUUCUGUCAAACUCUGACCUUGCCGAUGAACUUUGACCUUUGUGAAUGACUUGUCCAUUACAUAAGGGAUCAUAUAUUCCUCCAUUCUAGAUAUCAUAUGGACUGAUACAUGGAUUAUUAAUCAUUCUCUCUGUCCAUUUGUUGUUUCCCGAUUUCCGAUUUAUGAUGACUGACUGAUUGAACAAAUCAAAUCAGUCAUGGGUUAGCCAAGCACUCACAUGUGUCAUCACUAAAUCAUCGAGGGGCCUACAGAUAUCGCUUUUAUCCCGAAGGUAAAAGGAAUGGAUAAACUUUGACUCGUAUGGCUUGUUCUACUACUUGUUGAGUCAUACACAAGGGCACGUUUUAUAACAUCGAGUUACCAAUGUGUUUUCGUGCAAUCAAUGUAUAACCAACUCAUAGUAACAACUCAUAUCUCUAGGUUUGAAUAAUAUAAGAUAUUAUCAUCUCAUGAUCACUCGUGAUAAAAUCCAUGAAGUGAUUCAAUUGAGCGUGGGUUGAAUCCAAUACUCAAAACAUAUGAGCACUCAUAAGUGCUAUGGCACCACUUUUUCCAACAUCUUAGACCUCUACAAGCCAACCCAUGACAAUCUUGAUUCAUAUCUACUUCCAACAUACAACCGACUGUGGAUUGUUUGAAUAACUUAGUCAUUCAGGAAGAACAAUCUAGUUAUUCUGGAAGUCAAAACAUGCAAAAUGAAACACAAUAAUAAUCGAAUCCCAUAUGGUCUCGGAACAUAUGAACAUAAAUAAAACACCUUUUAUUUAUCACCAUAUUGAUUAUGCAUUAUUCAUUAUAUACUGUUUCAAACUAUCAACUUUAUACUUGAAUUAAAAACACUAGUUGUCCCAUGUUCCAAGCAUGUACACUAUGUUUUUCUAAACAAUAGCCUUGCCAUACACCAAGUAUGCACUUUUAUGUUUUCUAUGAUCCUUACAUUGUGAACUAGAUCGAUUGAACAUAAUUUCAAUGAUUCUCUUUUCACACUCCAAAAUCCUUAUCGAAAAUGUAAGAAUUCCAAAUUCCUAUCAUUUAUCAAAAUCUGUUAGAUUUUAAACUUAUAUGCAUUGAUCCUCUUGUAAUGAUUAUGCACAAAGUCACAAAGACUUCUCAAUAGACAUUAUAGAGUAUUCCAAUGGAGAUCAACUCCAUGGAAACAUCCUUCUUGCAUUAAGUUUUCCUAAUCUUACGCAAAUUGAAUAACUUCCAACUAUAGAGACAACUCCAUAUUCCCAUUUUGACUAACACUCCUGAACAAGAGUUGCCUCUUUUCAGAAUAUGUAAAUAUGGUCCUUCAAAAAUUAACACUAUACUUCCAAUUGUCCCUGAGCAACUAAUCUUUGGUAACCCUUAGAUUGUCCUCGACAAUUGCUUAAUCGUUUUAGUCAUAUCCAAUUCUAUACUUUUUCCCUCUUAAUGCCCUAAACAUUUGGAAAUUUUAGAAAGGAUGAAUAUUAUAGCACAUGCAAUCGAUCCUAUAUCCGAAGCAUAUGAGACACGAUUCAUGAUUUCUCACAUAAAGACAUGAUACUAGACCAGUCUUUGGCUACAAUAUUUCAAUUUUUUUAUUUUCCAUGUUCUCAUAAUUCAGAUUAUGAAAAGGGAUGUCGUAAUCAUAAUCAAAUUUUUAGAACGCAAAUAAUGGACCCAUAUAUAGAAUUUCUUUAUGUUGAGCCAUUCCAACACAAAAAAUUNGGAGCAAUAUACAGAAUUUCCUUAUGUUGAGCCAUUCCAACAUGAAAUUCAUAUAUAUAUAUAUAUAUAUAUCCUUGACUAAGAUGAUUAAAACCUCAAUCUAAGCUUUUAGAAUUGAAAUGAAGUAUAAUUUUCUCUCCCUUAAUUAUCGCAAAACAACUUUUUCAACCCCUGUAACCUCACGAAUUGAAACUUUUGUUUUCUAUAAUUAACAUUGCUAACUUGCAAUACUUAUCAUAAUUAUCAUGCUCCCACUAACAUGAUGAUCAUUAGCAUAACACUUAUGCUCCCACUAGGUUUGACAUGUACUCAGAAAUGACCUGGACUUCUAGGAAAAAAUACUUUAUUGACUUUCUAACCAAAGUUCAGAUUUAUGAUACUAGAUUGCUUUGAUAAGACUUGAUCAAAAUCAUACACCUUAUCUUAGAUAGAUCACAGGUGUGUCUAAACAAUUUUAGAACUAUGAAAAGUGAUGUCAUAAUCAUAUUCUCAACUGUUUAGAUCUUUGCUAUUUCUCAUAAGUCCAUGUUAGUGUGCCAGUUAACCACGCAAGCUCCACUAAUAAAUUUGAGAUUGCAAAGAUUACUAUCUACUUAAAAUCUACUUGGUGGAAGUGUUUCGUCACCAUCAUUUUCAUGAAUCGGAGAGAAACCUUAUGACCCUUAUAUACUAUAUGUUAGAAACAAGUGUGAGUCGGAAUGAUAUUUUCAAACUAUGUUGUAUACUUUUCAAACUUCAAAAAUGUACUAUUUUUACUCUGAUUCAUAAUCUAUGGACUUACCAACUUUAUGUUGACGUAUUUUUAAAAAUGCAUGUGUUUUUAGGAAUUUGAUAAGCGGGGAUGUUUCUCGAAUAAGGGAAAUUUUAUUGUUAUCCUUUCUGUUCAUAAGGAACAUAUAUAUGUUAAGACAUGUGCGAUAAUUCGGAUACUAUAUAAUAAUCACUACGAAACAAGAAUAAUGUAACUUUCUAUAAUCAAUAAAGGUACGUAAUUUAUAAUAAUUCUUUUGUAAAAUUCAAUAUAUUUUUGAUAACUAUGAUACAAGAAUGAAAUUAAUCUUCCUGGUGUUUCCACAGCCGGAUGGGGUGUAACAUGUAAACCCAUGGAUUUUUCGGGAUGAGAUGACCCGAUAGCUACUAUGACAUGGUUAACCCACACCGACAAAAUGUAUCGUACUAGGAAGUGUGUAGAGACAGUUAAAGUGGAUUAUGCCACUAACUUACUGAUUGUUGUAGCCUAUUUUGGGAGGGAAAUGAUAAGUAGUACCUUAGGAGAAAAGUUGGCGGCCAUUUUAACUUGGGAGCAAUUCAAGGUAAAUUUAUAUGAAAACUAUUGUUCUCAAACUACAGUGCGACAAUUGGAACAAGAAUUUUCCCAAUUUGUGCAAGGAGAAAAAUCAGUUUAAGAAUACACAUAUGAAUUUAACGAUAAGGCUGAUUUUCAAGACAUUUAGUUGAAAUUGAAGAGGGAAAGAUCUACAAAUAUUGAUGGGGAUUAAGGACUCAGAUACGUGAAUUCGUAUGGGAUUUUAAGUCUACCACUUUUUUUCGUGUAGUAGAUGCUGCAAGAGAUCGUGAAAUAGAAUUGAGAUGUCAAGAUUAAGAAAGGGAAAGGGGUGGAGAUAGAGAAGUAAGAGGAGAAAAGUACCACCUGGAAAGCAGGCCUGAAGAAUCUUUACAAAGAGGAAAAAUGUCAAUAAAAUCAUAUCCUACCGAGUUGAUAAGAGAUGAUGACAAAUGAUGUGAGGGGUGUCAGAAAAAAUCAUGUGGGAAGUUGCGACAAUAGUUCGGUACCAUUAAAAUGUUUCUAGUGCAGAAAGACAGGGCACACCACAACAAAUAGUUUGGCAAGAAAACCAUUAUGUUUUAACUAAAAAGAGAGUGGUCACUUUUAUGCGAAUUGUCCAAAGGCGAAAACUAAGGUGCCAAGAAAUGUUGGGCAAAAUGAUUGAGGAGGGCCGAAGCAUAUGAAGAAAAAUGAAAUAACAUGGAUGGUUAUGAGAGCACGGGCUUUUGAAAUGACUAUUGAAGAAGCUAAAGAGAAACCUGAUGUUGUUUCAAACACUUUUACUUUAAACUCACUUCCCGUAUGUGUUGUGUUUGAUUUUGGCGCAACCUUUUUUUAUCAAGUCAAUUUGUUGAGAUGAUAAAAAUACCAUUAGUUCUAUUAGAUGAUAAUAAUAGUAGAAAUGAUUGACGGGAAUCAAAUUCUUGUUACACAUGAGUAUUUAGAUUUUCGGUUUAAAAUUAACAGGAACUUCUACCCUAUCAAUUUGAAGCUAAUAACUACCAAGGAAUUUUAGAUGGUCGUGGGGAUGGAUUCGUUAUCAAAAAAUAAGGCUCAUACUUAUUUUGAUUAGAAACUACUUAUUAUAGAGUCUCUCGGUUAGCCUAAGAUAACCAUACGAGGUCAUAAAUGAUUUGGCAAGGUUUCGAUAAUUUCCAUUGCGAGAGAAAUAAAUGAUCUUGAGAUUUUCAAGGAGUACCCUGAUGUGUUUUCGGAUGAGUUAGCAGGAUUACCUCCCAAUCGACAAAUAGAUUUUGCUAUUGAUAUAAUACCUGAAGCCUUCCCUGUAGCAUGAGUUCCAUCUCAAAUAGAACCAUCAGAGAUGGAAGAGCUUCGUAAAUGGUUACAAGAGUUGAUAGAUUAAUGUUUUAUACAUUCUAGUUCAUCUUCGUAGGGUGCACCUAUUUUAUUUGUUAAGAACAAUGAUGAUACCAUGUGUGUGUGUAUUAACUGUCACGAGUGUAGGAUCCUAUUUCGAACGAUCGGCUUGUGUAGAAUAAUGAGAGAUCUUGAGAUUCAAUGAUAGUAAAACAUAUGAAGAACAAAUGAAGAUGAGUAAUAUGAUGAUUUACUAGAAAAUAGAGAAUAUUACAAUGAAGAACACAUGGGAUGGGAGAGAGGACUCUCAUAUUCUCUCUUACUAGAGAAAGAGGUUACAUUUUGGUGCACCCUAAACAAAUGACCAUAACAUUCUAUUUAUAGAGACAGAUACCUUACAAACAAUAAAAGGGAAUAAAAUAACCUAACUAUCACUCAUAAUUUGUGGAGCAUUUUCAUGCUCCAACAAUCUCUCCCCAAAUGCCCACAAAUAAUGAGGGAUAAAAAUAGAGUGAUAAAUGGCUAAAAUACAUAGUAACCAAGUAGCAAGUGUGGUAGUAAAAUGAAACAUAAUGAGAACCAAAAGUUGAAGUGUCUCUGAAACUCUGACAUGUCUGUGAUGAUUUAUGAUGUUGGCUACAAAUCUCUAAUCGGUAAAGGUCUUUGGCUUCAAAGGCACCACUAUUGCGGAAGAAAAAUGAGAUCGAGGUCUUCACACUUUUCACAAUCUCGAUGAUCAAGUUGAAGAUCCCAUCAGAAAAGCACUUCGACUUCAAAUGUCUGAAACAUCUCCAGUUCUUGAAUCAUAAUAUACCCAAAAUUAUUCAAAAGAGUAACCUGCUAAAAAUAUGAAACAUUCUGAAGUAGUGUCUGAAUAAUAAAUAAGCUAGGUCCAGAAAACAUAUAGUAAGGCCAAUAAUUGAUCAAAAAAUGACAAAAAAUCAGUGCCACGUCAAGUCACAAAAUAAAUCAUCAUUUUCAAAAGUCUCGAAAAUCCAAUCUCAAACAAUCAUAAAAUCUGAUCCAGAUGCAAACAUAAUAUGCUCUCCUUAUUUUUGGUGACCCAUGCCCAUAUAUCAAAAAUAAAUAAAUCAAUCAGGAUGGAGAGUGUCGGACACCAAGAGGUUCGCAUGUCUCCCUAGAUGUAAGAAGGAUCUUGGUAAAACACAAGACAUAAUUUAUAUUAAUCCUUCCAAGGUCAUAAGUAGCCGGUUUAUUCUGUCGCAAAAACUAUCUUAACAAAUACCAAAGUAACAAUAAGAACUUUGCAUUAAAACCUCUAAUGCGCUAAAAAACACUGAUGUACCUAAAUUGUGGUGACGGAACUCCUAAAGUGACUUCAAUCAAUAAAAUCCACUUGCUCAAGACACAUUGUUUGUCAAUCGAAGAUCAAGAGCGACAAGUCAUAAAAAUCCUGUAGAGCGAAGGUUGCUAGACAACUUUUCUUAUCAAACAAAAUUGCGGUGCAAUCAUCGCGAAGAAAAAUAUGAUGUCUGAAUGCGGUAUGGAGGAUAACCGGUCCUAAGACACUGAUCCAAGGAAUGCCGGUCGACAGACCUUUAUUAAAGAGCAAUCCUCAUGCAAAAACUAAUAAAAUUCUUCCAAUUUAAUCAACAAUAAGUAAUCCGUCGUGAGGAUCAAAGUUUGAGUAAAUCUUCAAUAAUAAUCUCUUUUGCGAAGACAAUAAAUCAAUUCUAGUAAAAAUAAUUCUUCGCAAAAGUGAUUUCGAUCACGGGUUGCAGUGGCAAAAAUUGGUUUAAAAAAAUAAUUGGUAUUAAUAAAAAAAGGAAAAAAAAAGUUUCUAAGGUAUUUGUUGGCUUAGGCGUUUUUGCGAAAUAAAAAAUUAGAGUUAAAUAAAAUAAUUGGUGUUAAACAAUAAUAAUAAUAAAAUAAUGAAUGUUAAAAAAAGAUAAAUGAGAGUUAAUUAAAAAAUCGGUGUUAAUUAAAAAUGGGUGUAAAAAAACAGGCAGAAAAAUAAAAAAAGAUAUAAAAAUAAAUAAUUAAAAAAAAGGCUCUAGUGGAAGAUGGUUAAGGAAUGCGAAGUUGGGGAUAAAAAGGUGAAGACUGCAGUGAAAGGGGGUGCUGAAUGUUAUGGGGACGGAAGUUCUAGGGGGUGGAAAUGGAACUCCAGUGGUGGAGGGGGGUAUCUGCGGUAUGGACCGAAGUGUAGGGGCCAUGGAUGAAACUUCGGUAUACAGGUUGAUUUGCGAGGUUUAAAAAUGCGAGCGAGGUGUAAAUGUAUCUUCUCAAAAAAAAAAAAAAAAAAAAAAGUCUUCAGUAUGAAAAAUUUAACUGCGGUGAAGUUGUGGGACCGAAGAGUGAGACAUGUGAGGAUUGGUUGGAGGGGAUAUAAGGGGUGGUGCUGAUAUGUGGUAUGAAAAAAGAAACAAUAAAAAAACAAACAAAAAAAAGGCAAAAGGCAAAUAAGGGUGGUUGAUGUCGGGUGGCACAUGAACAGAUAGCAGGUCUUUGGGUAUAGGAGGCAUAUGAUUUAGUCUUUAAGCCGGAGGGAGUGGUGCCAUCGAAAUCGCACUCCCUCUUCCGUCAUAUAAGCGUCAUGUCAAUUUAUACCAAACAAGUGUGGUUUCUUG
RNAcentral lists this long non-coding RNA (86266 nucleotides) under Lactuca sativa (garden lettuce). RNAcentral's name for it is "long non-coding RNA (LSAT_LNC007571)". Lineage: Eukaryota; Viridiplantae; Streptophyta; Magnoliopsida; Asterales; Asteraceae. The record is from RNAcentral.